RNAcentral lists this long non-coding RNA (74799 nucleotides) under Phoenix dactylifera (date palm). RNAcentral describes it as "long non-coding RNA (PDAC_LNC001941)". Lineage: Eukaryota; Viridiplantae; Streptophyta; Magnoliopsida; Arecales; Arecaceae. The record is from RNAcentral.
UGUGUUUGAGCUUGUUUGGUCAACUAGCUAUCUGCAGUCUCUUGAUAAAUAAAUAUAUGGUGCGAACCACUGAUUCCAGUCAUGUUCAGAUUUAUGUUUCCUUGGUGUCUUGCUUAUGUCAUUGUUACUUGUUAGGACAAUAAUAUUCAUCCAUAUUACUGCAUGUUCCCUUGUCAUUGGUAUCUAAAUGUUGUUUAAUAGCUGAAUUUAUCAUAACUAAUCAGGGAUUGAAGACCUGGUUCAUACUGUUCCAUACCAAGCACACCAUAUUAGACUGGCAGCAGACUGGUUCACUGUACAGUGUUGGUAUCUGAUUGCUUGCAGAACUGGUCUGUCUCAGUCUGAAAUGCUUAGAACCAACUGGUACAGACCAGCAGCUACCACUUUUGCUUGAUACUGGUCAGUAACAAGUCAAAAGUAGCCCACCUUCUUUUUUCCCUGUUUUGCAUCUGAAUAGGGAGAAGCGAGUGAUGGGAGGAGAAAGAGAGAUAAGGAAGCUUGUGAGAGCUCAGGUCCUGCUGAUGCAACCCAUCUCCUCCCUUUUUGCUUUGCAUAUCACCUAUUAUGUAUAACUCCUCUUCUGCAGACUAGCAGUCCAAUGUUUAGAUAUUGUAAUGAUUAAGAACCUCACUAGUAGGUGCUUUUUUUGAUGUCAAAUGAAUAUGUACACUGUUGUUCAUAUCUUUCAGCUUUUCUGACAAGUUCUACCAUCAAAAUAUAUAUUUCUUUCCCUCUUAUGGAUCUACAAGUUAUGAUACCAUAAUUCUAAGUAUUUUACGUUAAUUCUUUUUGUUGUUUAAUAUUUUCUAAAUCACUGAAACAGAUACCUCCGAGCCGAACUACAUACAAUAAUUUAAUCAGUGCUUGUGGAUCUGGUGGUAACUGGAAAGAGGCUCUUGACAUUUGCAAGACAAUGACAGAAAAUGGUGUUGGACCUGAUUUGGUGACUCACAACAUUGUUUUAUCGGCUUUCAAGAAUGGGGCUCAAUAUUCCAAAGCUCUGGCUUAUUUUGAACUUAUGAAAAAUACAAAUAUAUGCCCCGACACUAUUACUCUUAAUAUUGUUAUACAUUGCCUUGUCAAACUUGGACAAUUUGGAAAAGCUGUGGAUAUGUUCAACACAAUGAGGGGAAAAAGAGCAGAAUGUCCCCCAGAUAUCAUAACAUUUACCAGUGUUAUUCAUGCAUAUUCUGUUUGUGGACAGAUUGAAAAUUGCAAGGCAGUAUUUGACAUGAUGCUUGCUGAAGGACUGAAACCUAAUAUUAUUUCUUAUAAUGCACUUCUUGGUGCUUAUGCUUCACAUGGAAUGCAUGUGGAGGCAUUAACUAUUUUUAAGUUAAUCAAGCGGAACGGACUCCGACCAGAUAUUGUAUCGUAUACCUCUUUACUCAACGCCUAUGGCAGAUCUGGACAGCCUGAGAAGGCCAGAGAGGUCUUUGACAUGAUGAAACGAAACUCAUGCAAGCCAAAUAGAGUGAGUUAUAAUGCAUUAAUUGAUGCUUAUGGAUCUGCGGGAAUGUUGGAGGAAGCUGUAGAAGUGCUGCGCGAGAUGGAAAGGAAUAGUAUUCAACCAGAUAAUGUCUCAAUAAGCACGCUCUUGGCAGCCUGUGGCCGAUGUGGUCAAAUUGUUAAGAUUGACUCUGUACUUUUUGCAGCGAAAUCCCGUGGCAUUAAAUUAAAUAUAGUUGCAUACAACUCGGCCAUUGGAAGCUAUAUGAGUGUUGGGGAAUAUGAUAAAGCUUUAACAUUAUACAAGUUGGUGAGAGAAAAUAAAAUAAAACCUGAUGCUGUUACCUUUAAUAUAUUAAUUAGUGGUUUAUGUAAGGUAGGAAGACACGCAGAAUCUCAGAAAUUUGUCGAUGAGAUGAUGGACAUGCAGAUUCCUAUAUCCAAGGAGGUAUACUCAUCUUUGAUCUGCAUGUACAGCAAACAGGCAAGUGCUAGUGACUUGCAUGAUAUAUCUACUUAAAUACAAAUUAUGAUGUCUUAUAAGGCUUUUCCUUUCAGGGUCAACUAACAAAAGCAGAAUCUACUUUCAAUAUGAUGAAGGAGACAGGCUGCUUCCCUGAUGUUAUAACGUACACUUCCAUGAUACAUGCCUACAGUAUAGCAGGUAAUAUAUUUCCUUUAUCUGUAGCAAGGAUAAAAAAGUUGGUAAAAGAAUUUUGCUCACAGGAUAUUAAUUGUGGACUGCUUUAGAGAACUGGAAGAAAGCAUUGGAGAUUUUUGAGGACAUGGAAAAAAAUGAUAUCCGGCCAGAUCCUAUUGCAUGUUCGGCCCUUAUGGAAGUUCUAAAUAGAGGAUGCCAACAUACCAAGGUUCUUCAGAUGGCAGAGUUGAUGAGACUGAAGCAUAUUCCUCUAAACUCAAGUGCCUCUUUUGAGAUUAUUUCUGCUUGCAGCAUGUAAGUUACCUGUUUCUUACUAAAUGUAAUGCUUUAAUUUAGAAUUGGUGCUUCUAGAUGGUAAUUAUUGCCGCUCCUUGUCUUUGUUGUCAUUUAUAUCCUUUUUCAGAUGAUGCUGAUUGUGGUUGAGCUUAUUAAUCUAAGACCAAUAGCAUUAUGUUAACAAUGACAUUGUUAUAUAUGAUUAGAAACUGAUUAAUGUGGAAAUUAUUAAUGACUGUUUGAUGUUUAGAAGACUAUAGUUUCCAUUUUCUUGAUAUUAGCUUAUACUCUGUGGACCCUUAUACUGGCUCCUGGAAUUGAAAAAAAAUCUUAAACUUCUUCCAGUUUAUCUGCUGAGUUGAGUAUUGAACUAGUACUUAUUUAUUUUUUAAAAUAAACUAGUACUUUUUUUAAAAAAAUGAAAUGUUCAAUGCUUCCAUUUUUCACUUUUCCUUUGUUUGUUCUUUAUCAUUCAUGGUGUUUGUGACUGCAGUUGAUGGCUGUUAUUUAAUAUGUGGUCACUUUUUGCACUUUCUUUUUUUUAGUUAGCCUCUUGGAAAGUAAAUUGACUUCCACCUUAGUUAUUACUUCAGAAGGCCAUCAUAUGUUGCCCCAUCAGGUGACACAAGAAUAGUUUUCAGCAUUUUUUUUGAUACAGUAUGCCUAACCUUCUGUCUGGUUUUUCUUUUUUCAAAUUUUUAUUAAAUGAGUUUCUUUGCCUGUGAUAUUGGCAAUUCAAUACAUUCGACAAUGACAAUGAUUUCUAACAAGUGUACGUACAUUAAUUAGUUUACGACCAUAUAUGGUUGAUUUCUGGCCUUGAAAGAUGUAUAUUAUCCAGGGAAUCUGUUAAAACUUCUAAUUUGGUUGCUGGCACUUGCUUCUUAUGGCAUACAGUAAGCAUACUUGAUAAUCUAGGAGCAUUAUGUAACUUUUACCCUUAAACUUUCUCUCAUCUUUGAUAUGCAGUUUACAAUUCACAUUUAGUUACAAAUCCAUUUUAUAAACUGAGUUGCUUCUCACAAUUGGCCAUCGACCCAUUGUCGACCCUCGACCUUCUUCAUCUGGGUUUCGCAACAGAAUCAAAGGUGUUAUUCCACCUAAUGCUAACCAUGUGGAGCUUGUUUCGACCUUUUGAAACCUUUUCCUAAUGCCUUCUAAACCCCUCGAGGCAACUGAUUUCUUUUUAUUCAUAGAUAUGGUAUUGCAUGGGUGGGCAUUUCUUUUCCUCAAAGGAAACAAGUGAACAGUCAUCCCAUGUGUAGUUCACACUCCUCAGGAGAUUUUGUGCAAGUAGUUGACCUCCUCAAAGUCUCUCUAUACACAGGGGUAAGGCUGUAUACGUUUGACCCUCCCCAGGCUUUGCAGCUUUGUGCAAUGGGAUACCCUUUAGUAGACCUCCUCAAACCUCUAAAAAGGGGAUGGCCAUCACUUGUAGGCCCGCACAUGCUAUGAAAGCGUGAAGCUUCAAUCCUAGAUGUGACAUCUAGAUCCUUGGUUGUGUGCUGCUGCUAGAUAUCUUUCAUGUUGCUCUUCUUAUUCAUUUAUUAUUUUCUCUAUUCUACUCUCUAAUGUCUGUUUAACAGAUUGGAGCCUUUCAAUCUGCGAUAGUUUCAUUAAAAAUUACUCCUGUUUUCGAACCUCUUAGAUUGUCAUCCCUGCUUAACCUCAUAUUAUACAUGCUAAUCCUUCCUGGAAUUCUCUUAAGUGUAUACCAAAAUACUUGACUGCUGUAAAUAAUUCCAUCAAGGUUGUAGUUUAAACUUCCUUCACUAUAUCAUUAUUUAUUUCUCAUGAAUUUGAUAAUUCUUCUUUCUUAUCCAGAAAUUUAACUACUGUUUUUUCCUGUUCAAGGCUAAGAGACUGGAAAAAAGCAAGCGAAAUAGUUGAAAAUAUGGAGCCCUCCUCAUUCUCAUCACUUUCACUUGGGAUUUUAAAUCAGCUUCUUUGUUUUCUUGGAAGGAGUGGGAAGAUUGAGACCAUGAUGAAGGUAAUUAUUGCAUAUUAGUUGGAUCAUUUGUUAAAAACUUUCAAAUAGCUGUUAGUUUUCUUCAGAAACCAAAUAAUUAUGCAUAUGAUAUUCUUUCUGAGCACUUGGAUAUAUCAUCAAACUAUCAAAUGAACAGAGUUAAGAUAUAUCUAUGGGUAAUAUAAGUGAUACUGACAUAUUUUUGACUAAAUAUUUUUGUGCAUUCAUGGAUGUUAGUCAUAAAUUACUAACUGUUACUUACAAGCUUUGCCCCAUGUAGUUGGGUUGGCUAUAUUAUUCAUAAUGGUUCUAUUUAGAGUCUUUUAUCUGAUGGAUUGGUCAAAUUUUUUAUACUUAACCAUCACACUGGUGAUGUGCCUCUCUUUAUUCCCGCCAUUACUCAUUUUUUGUUAUCAAUGGAUGAUGUAUCUGGUGACAUGUCUGAUUAUUAUUAUUAUACCAAGGAUUGAUGAAUUUUGUGUGGAUAGCAUGGCACAUAUCAUGCUAUGCUGUGGGGGUUAUUCCAUGCCAGUUCUCGGCAUGCACUGUCACAGCUGCAAGCCAGGUACCGUCAUGCAGCCUAUAUCAUGCCAGUGCCAUGCUAAUGAGGCACUGGCACCAUACAUAUCCCUGCUGACAGUACUUUGAUCCAUGUUUAUACAAGAGACAUUACAUUGUGCACUAAGGUAUGUGACUAUGUGCUGUAUUUUUUUUUAUUCUUUCUACCUGAGAUGCUUCUCCUUGAAUAAGUUUAUUAAAAGCAAUCCAUUCAUUCUCAUCACAUUAAUGAUUGGUUUACAAAAUGCACACAUCAUAUCAGGAUAUUGUUUUCUUAUAAUUUGCAAAAUGGCAUUGUCACAGAUAUUCCAAUAUCGCUUUCUUAUAACUUGUGAAGUUUAUGGUAAUGAUGGUACUAUUAUAUGAUACCUGAGCACAAUCUGUAUAAGGUCAGGUGUCAGGUUGAAGCAGCUGCAGUAUUCUGCUGAAUAUCUCAUGGAGCCUUCUUGAAUUGUGCUCCAUAAACAAUGUCAAAUUGCUGGACAAAGAUUCGUUGAUGUUAAUUGCCAUUGUUCUCCGACAACUACUUAGUUGCACAUGAUUAAUACAUACUCAUUUUUUACGCUAAAUUACUGUUAAUUUCCAGGAUCAUUAUUCUAUGAGAUGUUGUGGAAGACUUGAAUCGCCUUGUUCUUACCUUGCAAAUCCUUUCUUGAGUACAUGAGUUCAUUUUUAUGGUUACAUAUGAUCUAUCAAAAGUUGAGAACUUUCUUUAUGGGCUUUCAAUAAACACCUGCCCUUUAUCAUGCUGAACUCUUGGUCAAGGGUUAAGGCGGAUUUUGCAAGGAGUGGCUUCCCAUGAAACUUAAAGAACAACCAAAGGGAAGAGAGACAUAUACUUCUUAUGGUUAACCUCCAUGGUCUGCUAGACUUCCAAGUGUUUAAAUGGAAUAGGAAGAAAAGGAAUGGUAUGAUUAGAAAACUGCAAGAGCACUUCGUAUAGUGACGUUGAAAUAUAACCCUAGUUUUUUUUUUAAUGAUUAAAUUCUUAGAAGAUUUAGUUAGUUCGAAUUGUUCAAGUGAUUCUCUGUAUUAAUUACAAGAAAGUUCAAUAAUUCACAAAAUUUUCAAAUUAUUCUUGAUACCACAAACAAUAAUAAGUGAUUAACAAGUUUUUGAUGAACUACUUGCAUAUUAUUUAUUAAUAAUUUUAUUUUCUGUAGAAGUGUCUAUUGUUUGUUGUUGACUCUCUCAUGCUUGCUUCACAUGCUCUAGUAUAUGAAUGAAGCGAUAUUGUGCAGCUUUCAAAUCCCUAUCAGUUAUCUGUUUUUGUCUCUGUUCUUAUUCUGAACUUUUUGGAAACUUGGUUCAGAAUUCCUGAAUGUUGAACUUGUUAUUCUAUCAAUCCCAAGUUUUGGUAAGGAAAAAAAACUAAGAUUACCAUUUUAACAGCUGGUCACAUAGAAAGCCCAAACUGUGAAAAGAUUUUUUUUAAAAUUAUAAUAAUAAAAAAGGUUCAUGCAAUAGAUACUAGCUAAAGCCGCUUUUUGGUCGUAUUCCAUGGUUGCUCCAUGCGUUAUCUAUUAUAUAAGAAGAUAUGUGUAAAAGGUGUUAUAUGUAAAUGUUCAUGAAAAAAAACAGAAGGUUUUCCUAUUUUUGGGAACAUGGGGCAGUGUAGAAUGCCCUCAAGAUUUUAUUAAAGACCAAGUAGAGAUGCAACAGUAGAAUACAGAUUAAUGCUAUCUAUUGAACUAUUCCACUUUUGAAGUCCUUCCUGAUCAAUGAAGCAAAUGAAUAUUUUCAGGAAAAAGGAAAAGGUUUUCUCCACAUAAGAUAUAACUCGUUUUUUAAUAGAUGAAGCACAUUAUACAUAUUUGCAGAUCAAGACCUCCAUUAGCCCAGAAAUUUAUCAUACAAAUCAAAUUAAUUUUGUAUUCCCCUAAUGAAAUAUCUAUUUAGUUUCUUCCGGUUCCUCCUCUGAUUCAGCCCUUGGAGCUUCUAGCUAGUGAUGAGUACUUUAAUCUCUAAAUGCAAGACAGAGUCAAGAUCAUAAUUCUUUCCAUGAUGGCUAGCUAAGAACUCAAAAUUUAAUGAUGAUGGUGUUGGGAAGUAGGAGUGGCUCACUGGCUAAAUGCUCCAAAAGGUUGAGUGAGGAGAGAAAUGGGAAAAUUUGCAGUAAAUAUUUCCAUUAUGGCUGAUGAAAAGUUAACUUGGGGCCUAUUUGGAAAUUGCUGGGAUGAAAGAAGCUUAUCUGAAAAUAUAUAAAAGAGAGGUCUUUAUUUGCAAGGAAGGAGUUAUAUUCAGAAAACUUUUCUUUACCUUUUAAUCUGUUUAAUAUAUGAAGUCAAUCAGCAAGUGUAUCACAUUAUCUCCAUAUAUAUAUAUAUAAUUUCCCAGAAGUUUAGAGUGAGGAGAUCCUUUCAAAUGUGGAAUUACGAACUAACUGCACUUUGUGAGAUUGAGUUUUCCCAGCUGUCCAAUCAGCCAUCAAUUUCAGACUAUUUUUGAUGAGUAAUCUCUGCAUUCUAACAAUUCAGUGACAACUACUAAACUCUAGUAGAUGGAUUGAUUCGGUGAUUUCGUUUCUGUGAGUUCAUAAAUUAAUAGACUCUGUUGAAAAGUUUAAUUAAACCUGAAGUAAUUAUGCUUUAAUAUAUUAUGAUAUGUCUGUGAUAAUUGUGUCCAUUACUUAUUGCACCUGGUGUUAAUUAUGAAAUGAUUGCAGGACUUCUCCAAUAAAUUGCUUUUCUACCUUUCAUGUAUGCAGCUUUUUUAUGAGAUAGUGGCCUCAGGUUCAAAUGUCAGCUCUGCAACAUACUCGAUUCUUUUGAAGAAUCUUUUGGCUGCUGGGAAAUGGCGGAAAUAUAUUGAGGUGCAUAAACUUGUUAUAAAUUAGGGGUAUUACACUUGGUAAAUUGCACAUGUUGUUUGCUCUUUAGUUUAGUCAGACCUUUUUAAUUAAUGAUAUAGUGGUACUAAGGUUCGUCGAACCGGUACCGAGACCCAUACUGGUCGGAGAGCGGUUCGGUUUUGUACCGGUUCGAACCGAGCUAAAUCGGGAGUGCUGAUUCACGGACCGACACUCCCUAAUUUAUAUUUUUUUUGUAGUUCUCUCUCUUUUCGAACUUUUUCUAUAAAUUUAAGCCUAAUUUGAUGUUUUUUGUUGUCUUUUUGAUGUUUUUUUGAUAUUUCUAUAUUUCGGUAUAAGCUAGAUGCAUCUUAUUGCUUCAAAAUGAUACAAUCAUAAAAUGGACAGCAUAAAAUAUUCUUAAAUCAAGAUACAAAUCAUUGCCAUAGCCCCACAGCGGGACUCAGAUUCGGUGAGAACUGACGAACCGGACGGAACUGUUUUCCAUUGCAGAACCGACCGGGUCGGAGACCGACCAGAUCGGCUCGGACUGAAUCAGCCAGUUCGGCUCGAUUCGGACUGAAUCAGCCGGUUUGGCGAUCGUUGAGUGGUACUGGUGUCAAUUCACUCACAAUCACAUAUGGUUGUGUGAAUAAAAGAAAGCACAGGAUAAAAUUCAUGUACUUUUUUACAGAUCGAUCAAUCUCCUCUUUAGGCCCUCCAUUACAUCUCUCCUGUCAUACUUAUUUGUCUUCUAUUAUAGCUUGCAUCCCUUGAAACAAAAACCAAAAGACACUGCACUAAAUAUUGCCUGCAAUGACAAUGGUAUCCCUUCAGUUCUGUUAUCUAUCACAUCAUUUACUGCAAGGACCAUGCUACUAUAAAUAACGAUAGGCCAUAGGCAGCUUUGUCAAGUGAAGCCUUGAAAUAUCUUAAACCUUAUUUUUUUUCUAUCUUGAAAAAUUAGAGAACUCACUUUAUAAAAAGAAGCUGGAAUUUCUGGUUCUCCACCUUUCCCUGCAUGAUAAGAAUUGUAUAUUGAGAAGACAAUUUUUAUUGCCCAGCAUUUAAAUGUUAAAAUUAUCUUCAGUUGCUGCAUUCCUUGAGAAUCUGGUUUCAGUAAGUCCUGCUGAGUGGUGAUAGCCUUUGAUGUAGCGGUAACUUAGAUCAAGCAUUCCAUCUUUUACAGCAGCUUCAGAAUUAUUUCCAUCACCAUCAUCAUAGUAGUAGCGGUAGUAGUUAUUAUUGUUCAAAUUGCUAGUAUUAGGCAUUGCUUACAAAAUAUUGAUGUAAGUUUUGCAUGCACAGGUGUUGCAAUGGAUGGAGGAUGCAGGAAUUCAACCAUCGCUCUAUAUGUACAACAAUGUUCUCCCAUAUGCAUGGAAGGACAACAGCAUGGAGCAUGUUGUUCUGAUCCAAGAAAGAAUAAGUAAGAUAACAUAUACAUACAUACACAAUACGCACACACAUAUGCAUAUAUCCAGUGCUUUGGUUAGUCCCAUCUGUUUGCUCAUCAAAAAAAUGAAAAACAAAUCUGUUUUGUGAGUAAUUUGCUGACUAACCAUCUGUCAUAAACUUUUUUAUGGCUCCGUGUUUUAUUGGAGGUGCAUUUACAUGUAAUUUGUAAACCAUUGUUUUGUCUAUAAAAAUGAAAAAUGACGUGGAAGGUCUACUCUAGAAAUGUGAGGUAGUAGGUGAAAAUUUAAAAAUGCAGCUCUUUGCAUGUAUGAGGUAAGGUUGAGGGUAAGCCUUAGUGGAAUGGUGAGCUUGCUCCAUUGUGACUUGGAGGUCAUAUGUUUGAAAUACGGAAACAACCUCUCCGUAUGCGGGGAUAAGGCUGUGUACAUUUGACCCUCCUCUGAUCCCGCAACGGUAGGAGCCUCGUGCACCGGACUGCCCCAUUUUUACAUGUAUUAGGUAUUUGAAAGUUGUCCAUAAUAUAAUUCAGAUGCUUCUGCAUCUCAUUUGAUAUCUUUAGAAGUCAUCUUAUCAAUCAUCCUCAGCAGAUUAAUGGUCUUGUUGUUGUACUUCACGGCAUUCAAGUGUACCAUUUACGAUAAGGUCUUUUCAUUAUUUGCAUAUGAUAAUGUAAAAUUUCCCCCAUCUUUCAAGCUUUCUGUAAUGAAAUGCUUUCUUCUUGCUUGACACCUCAAGCUCACAAGGAUAGCUUUAACAUAAUUCCUAAGCUUUAGAAAUAUGUCAGCUUAUUUAAUUUCUGUAAUGUGUUUUGGUUGAGGUGGCUAGGAGGCCCUUGGCAAUGAAGACCACUAAUGCCUAGGCAGUUGUCUAGUGUCUGAGGUGUUGAACAAGAAAAAAUUGAAGGCUGGAGAGAGAGAGAUGAGGGAGAAGAAAAAUUGCAAGGUAACAAAGAAGAACAGAACGAUAAAAAGGGAGUAAGGACACAGGUUAAAGGAUUAUUAAGACAAGUUAGAGGAAUAAAAGGAAAAGUAGAGGAAAAACGGAAAGGGGCAGAAGUGGGAAUGCAACUAAUAAAAGAAGCUUGAUUAUUAAGGUGUGACAAUGUGGAAGCUAAGAGGAAUUUGAAGUGAAAUGAAAGAGAAUGAAAGUAAGAAAACAAAAGGAAAAAUAGGAAAUGGAGAGAGAGAGAGAGAGCAUUGCUAGAUCCUAGGGCUGGGUUCUGUUACAGACCUCCACUUUCAAGGUGGUAUGUGGAAUGGGUUCAAAUAAGUGAAGUCGUAGGUUGCAAAAAUUAAGUUGCUAUGGCAAGCAAUCUUUAGAAUAUGAAGUUAUGAACAAUCACUGUGAAAGAAUCUUGUUACCUCGAUUCUAAAAUAGCAAGAGUUGCCUAUACACACUUAACAAUUUUUUUUUAAAAAAAUUCUCUCUCCCUCCCUCCUUUCUCUCAUAAUAUGUGCGCGCUGUGUGUGUGUGAGAGAGAUCCAGUUAUCCUGUCCAGAAAUGGAGGCAGAAUCAAUGCAAUGUCAGGUUUAUGAUGAAAGGAGUGUUUAGAGACAGCUCAAUAAAUGUCUUUCUUUUCUUUUCAAGAGGUGGAAUAAAACAAUCUAGUUGACUCAUAGUGAUCAUUCACCUGUAAUGCACUGUAUGUCCCAUAAUUGGUUCCAUUCUUCGGCACUUUCCUGGGAGUUGACUAUUCAUUGCACUUUCCUGGGAGUCGACUAUUCAUGGCUAUUUCUUGGGAGUCGACUAUUUGGCACUGUAUGCACUUUCCUGAUUCAGCAUUGGAGAUAUAUGGAUUGUUCGCUGAAUUUGUUGUUCCACAGAAGUCUUCUGUUGUAUGCUACUUUCUUCCUCCUUUUUUUCCCUACUGGAAAAACAAAAAACUUGAAGUCCUUGUAAAGAAGUCUUCUUCUUUCCUAACCCCCCAAAAGGGCUUGAAUUCUCUUCAUGUAAGACAAUAUCUAUGAUGCAAAUAACAAUUUUGGGCUGGCAUAUUCUGCUAACCGCUGUGUCUGUUAUGAUUUGAUCGUUAUAUUUAAGUAUAUCUUGUGCGUAACAGAUCUUGACUGAUUUUUUUAUUGCUUAGGGAACUGCUAUUAAGUUCUUUUUUCAUCUAUUUAAAAUUUUCUUGUUGUAGGCUCUUUGAGAGAAAAAGUUCUUUGAGCAUUGAAGGUUAAGUAUGCUAGAGAUUUCACAAUGAUGAGCUAGCCAGUGGAUGGGGCUGCUUGAGGCGACUGUAUCUCAGGUUCAUAGGAACAACUACCUAAAGAAAUGCAGUACAUUUAGCAUGCGGAAAGCACAAAUGAGUUAACUGGUGUGUGGGCUUGUUUGGCAAGGAAAUUCAAGAGCUUAAGGUCAUAUUCUGCCAGCACCUCAGCUAAACAGGUAAUUCAAGAAUUUGAAGGCAUGACAACCCAAGUGGUUUGUGCGAAUCACGGUGAAGAUUACACAUGGUGCUAAUGUAUAUUUCUGUUCUGUAUGGUUGGACUGUAGAAUGGGCAUCAUUUUAAUUAUUGAUUUCAUCUUGAUGCAGAGAUUUGAGGAGUUACAGAUCCUCUUCAUCCUUUUCAAGCUUGUCGACUGUUGCUAGAAAAUUUGUGUGUCCAGGUAUCAUCACCAGCCUUUCACAAGAAAGGCUGUUAAUUAAUACAGUUGCAGUAUCGUUUAUGAAAUUAUGCUGCUUUUUCUCUUGGCUAGGUUUUCUGUUGUGGCAUUAACAGGGAAGUGGGGCCAAAUGCUCCAUCAUCUGUAGAGCCCUGUUGUUUCCAUGUUUAUUUCUUUUGCUUUUAACAGGCUCUUAUUAUGAAAUUAGCAGAUGAAGUGGGGCUGAAUACUCUGUAUCAUCUGCAAAGCUGGAAAUUAACUAGUUUAGAUAGGUUGUUUCACUGGAGAAAGUUAAGAAAAGGUUGUAGAACAGUUAAGAGACCAGCAAUCUCUUUGUUCUCAACCAUGUUGUAAUGAAGUCUGGAAUGAAGAUGAGUGAGAAUGUUAACUAUGCUAUCUAAUUUGAAGUCUGGAAUAAGAUCGGCUCUCUAGCAUAUUGCAUAAGCUUCCACUUUUUGCAUUAUGGCAAAUCUACUUCCCCGGUUUUGGGUCUCCCUCCCACUGCUUUUCCCAAGUAUUAUGCAGGUCGCAAUUCACAAUUGUACAAAGGUUCAAACUAUAAGCGAGAAGAUAAAACCAGUUAGCUAUAGAAGAGAUCAGGUAUUGGAUCUUUUAGGGGAAUUGGCACCUCACUGAAAUGCUGCAUCGAGCUAACAACAAAGGAAACAGGUCCUCUCCUGAAUGAUGCGGUCUCAAUCAUCCGGUUGGCUUAAAAACUCAAUCGGCAAAUUAUGAGGACUGGACCAUGUCACCGUGGACCUCUCAUGUCAUGGCCCUCCUCUGCUGUACUAGUAUUUUAUGCAGCAUGGAGUGCAGAACAAUCUUCCCACCAAGUCUUGAGGGGAUGGUAAUGGGUUGGGUGGGUUCAUGUCGUCAGAGAUGACAAUAAUAUACAAAAAAUCUUGACCACACAUAUUGAUGGUCUGAAAUGAUCCGUUUAACUAAAACAUAAUUUAUUUUACAUCCUUAAUGGACCCAACCUAACAUGACAAACCUGUUUGUUACUCAUUCUUGCCUGUUUAUUUUUAAGGGUAUGUUUGGUUUCAAAGAGAUGGGAAAGGUAAAAAUAAGGGAUUUCUAUAGAAAUGGAAAAGUUUUCUAGAAAAAAUAGUUUUAAACUUUUCGAAUUUAGAGGUAGAAGAUCUUUUUNNNNNNNNNNNNNNNNNNNNNNNNNNNNNNNNNNNNNNNNNNNNNNNNNNNNNNNNNNNNNNNNNNNNNNNNNNNNNNNNNNNNNNNNNNNNNNNNNNNNNNNNNNNNNNNNNNNNNNNNNNNNNNNNNNNNNNNNNNNNNNNNNNNNNNNNNNNNNNNNNNNNNNNNNNNNNNNNNNNNNNNNNNNNNNNNNNNNNNNNNNNNNNNNNNNNNNNNNNNNNNNNNNNNNNNNNNNNNNNNNNNNNNNNNNNNNNNNNNNNNNNNNNNNNNNNNNNNNNNNNNNNNNNNNNNNNNNNNNNNNNNNNNNNNNNNNNNNNNNNNNNNNNNNNNNNNNNNNNNNNNNNNNNNNNNNNNNNNNNNNNNNNNNNNNNNNNNNNNNNNNNNNNNNNNNNNNNNNNNNNNNNNNNNNNNNNNNNNNNNNNNNNNNNNNNNNNNNNNNNNNNNNNNNNNNNNNNNNNNNNNNNNNNNNNNNNNNNNNNNNNNNNNNNNNNNNNNNNNNNNNNNNNNNNNNNNNNNNNNNNNNNNNNNNNNNNNNNNNNNNNNNNNNNNNNNNNNNNNNNNNNNNNNNNNNNNNNNNNNNNNNNNNNNNNNNNNNNNNNNNNNNNNNNNNNNNNNNNNNNNNNNNNNNNNNNNNNNNNNNNNNNNNNNNNNNNNNNNNNNNNNNNNNNNNNNNNNNNNNNNNNNNNNNNNNNNNNNNNNNNNNNNNNNNNNNNNNNNNNNNNNNNGUUUCAGCUACCAAGGGAUAUCAUAUUUGGAACAAUCCAACUCAUCCACCAAUACUCCUUGAGGGUGUUUUUAGCUAGAUUCUUUGUUAGGAUUGAAGCCUCAAUCCCAUCAGUGCAAAAUAUAUGUCUGUCCACUCAUGAAAAUCUGAAAUAUUAAUGAUGAUAUGCAAUACUUAGAAUGCCGCAUCAUAGAAUUGGAUCCUCAUUAUUGCCAGUGCAAAAUAAGCAUUAGGCCACAUAAUUCAUGAAAUCGACUAUGUCAGCGGUAUGGUGCCAAUGUUUUAAAAAGAUUGUUGCAAUAUGUGGGUAGUGAAGAGACUAAUGGCGCAUACACAUCGUAUGGGUUGCAUAUGUGGUAGUAUUUUGAAUAUUUUAAAUAAAUAAGAUAUAUUAAAUACAAUGAUAGCAACCUUUUUGUAAAUAAAACCAAUAAGUUAGUACAUAUUUGUUAGUACUUAAUGCAAUAAUUAUGGCAUAACUAAUAUAUUGAUAUCUUUAAGAUGCAAUAGCUGCCUUGCUUAAAACCAAUAUCUAACCUAACUAUUGCUUGAACUUGCCUCAUAUGCAUGGGUCUUCCUAAUGGUGGGCUAUAUAUGUGGUCUCACAAUGCUGAAGGAGCUAUAUAUGGAAAUCGAAAAAUGAUUAAUAGGCUACAAGUGAAAUUGCACUAUGCUAAUCUAGCCUUAGAUGUAUUUGCAUAGUGCUAAGUGAACCAUGCUUUUGGCUAAUAUGCAGCCUGACCAGAUAAAGUGAAGGCUUGUGGUCUAGCCUUCUAGGGACUGCAUAUGCAUAUCCAGUCUCAUACAUCACAUUUCAAACACGUACAAUAAUGACUAGAUUAAUGAUCUAAAUUUGUUGAAACCCAUUGAAUUUUGGUUCCUACACAUUUAAAGAUCUGUUGAUUAAGAUCGAUAGUGUGAAAUCUUUUAGCUUUAUACUCUACCACAUAUUUAAAUUUUAAUAAAUGCUUUUCUUGCUAUUUUCAUCUGAUGCAUAGUUGAAAGACCUUUAAAAGAUGUAAAUUUAUUUUUCUAAGCAUUUUAAAUGUUGUGAUUUAUAAUCAAUGGCAUGGAUUUGCUAUUUUAAUGGCCAUCAUUUAUUUUGUGUGGGUAGGAUUUAGUCUCCUUUGUUACCGUCCUAGCUUAGCUGUGUACACAGACACACACAGUGAGAGAAAUCCAUUUAUCCUUUGUGCCUCCAUAUGUAGAAAGAAGUUAAAUCAUUAUUACUUUAAAACCUUUAUCCAGACUGCCUUGAAUGGGUUAAAUUUUUUAGACAGUUUUUGUCAAAUAAUAUCCUCCAAAGAUAAUGAUUAAUUUCUCUUUUAAUAUAGUGUAUUCUAAAAUUUUAAAGUGUGAAUUUAAGUUUUGAUAGUGUUAUCUGUAUAUCUUGUUAACUAUGACCUUCAUAUUAAAACUUGGCUAUUGAACUACUUGGCUUAAAUCAUAAACUGAGUGCAAACAAGUUAUUUCUAUCGUAAAAAAAAUCAAGAAUUUCAUACUUUUAAACAUUUUACCUUUGGUCUAUGUACCAUGAACGAGCAUAUCAAGCAAGUUUUAAAUACCGUGGUUUUCCUUAAACAACAUGUCUCCAUGAGAUAGAAGAUGUCCUGUUGCAGUUCACUUCUCCACUUAUCUCAUCACAACAUUUGGGAUGGUUCAUCAUCUCAACACUCAAGAUAGUUUAUCUUAAUUAUGCGUGUAGCCAACUUUGAAAUGUUGAGUCGACCCCGAAAUGAGAUCAAGCUAUAGUAAAAUGGUAUACUAACCUUGAGUGACUAUGGCUGCCUAAACUCUCUCCUGAAAUUUGGAUUGGCUUGUUAACUUAUCCAUUCCUUUGGACAAAGAGUACCUGGUUUGGCCAAAAGACCUCUGCAUGUCAUCAUGCAUCUUAGGAGUAGCAUAAAAAGAGGAAUUAACAUUAUUGACCCUAUGAGAGACCACUAACACCUUGCAAACUGGGGCUUCACGCUUGGGAAAAGACUUCCAUGAUUGGAAACCAGCCGCUAGUUACCUGCAUGCUGGAAAGGAACCAAGACAAGAAGAUGAGGCAUCGAGACCUAAAGGCAAAUCAUAUUAAAUCAUAGCACAAUGUGCACAACAUGUCAAAUUAUAUCUAGACCAUGCUAAUCCGUAUAUUUUGAACCAUGUUGCAAUAGCUUGUGGGAUUUUGGCGGCCCAAAGUCACAGGGCGUGCGCUGUAGCCUUUUUGACUUUUGCGGCCCACCAUGGCCUUUUUGGCUGAGAGCAAUAUUUAGCGCCUUCCCAUAACUGAUUAGCCGCAGCCACAGAAAAGCCCGUCACCUUACUUUUUUUUUUUUUCUUUUUUUUUUCUUUGUUACCUACUUUUUUUUUUCUUGUUCGAGACAUCCUUUCAGCGAGAUGAUCGAGAGAAGCUCACACGAGGACACGACGGUACCCGGUCAACUCAGUCAGGAGGGUGACAUAGUCAGACAGAGAGGGACACGAAGGCUAAGAAGGCAGCUGCCCAGUGAACCAAAAAAGAAAAACAAAAAAGCCCCAAUGGAGAGUGUCGAGAAGGAGUCUCGGAGCAGCAACAAUGACGGUUUUGGUGGAUCUGCUAGCCACGGAGAAGUGGAUGACAAGAGAGCAUUAUUUAUGACACACAGCUGGAGGCUGGUCUUCGGUACAUCGAUAAGUUCCAGUUUAUACAUGCUACACAGAAUAGGAACUACGGUAAAUGAUCUGGUAGAGCCUGCGAGGAUAUGAUUGCAUAUAGGAGACAUGCUCCUUGAGGUCAUUUAGGAAGACACGAUGCAGUUACAUAAGACCUUGCACGUAGAAUAGGAUCCAUAAACGUAUCAAGUUCCGAGUCAUAUACUAGAUCAUAUUAUCCACAAUCAUAAGACUCAUAUAGAUACGAAUAUGGUGCAUCUCAUGCAUCUUCCGAUGGCUACUAUCCUACAAAGUCCGGAGCAUCUCACGGGUCGGAUUUUGCUACCGAGAUAUUUGGGUGAGCCCCUUUACAGCUAUAUUAUCAGCCAGAGAACACUUUUCCAGAGCUAGAGCUUUAGCGAGAAAUCCGAGAGUUCUCGUAACCCAGCGCGCGUUCCUCAAGGAAUGAGCAUACAAGACUACAACGCUGCUUGAUUAGAGGGGUGGGUUAAUCUGCCUAUUUAUUAUGCUGAUGAUUCGGAUAUCUACUAGAAGCAUCGCCACUCGACCCAAGAGUGCUUUAAAAGUAUGUAAUUGAUUGCAUCUUCAGUUGAAAAUAUUUUAUAUUAUUUAUUUCAUGAUUUGUAUCAUUUCAAAGAAAUAAGAUGCAGCAACUAGCUUAAAUCGGAAUCAUAGAAAUAUAAAAAAAAAUCCAAAAGAUAUCAAGAAAACAUCAAAAAAAAAUCAAAUUAUACUUAAAUUUGUAGAAAAAGUUUGAAGAGAGAGAAAACUCUCAAAAAAUUACAAAAAAGUUUGAAAAUAAUUGCCGAACCGAACAAACCGGUUCGGUACUGGUACCGAACUGGUUCCGGCGCCGAUCGGUAUCAGUACCGGUUCGGCGAUCCUUAAGGAGAAGCCUUUGUUAUUUUAUUAUUUUUUUUAAAGAAAGAAAUAUGCUAAGAAAGAUGAUCCCAAAACUUUGAAGUAAGACUUAAUGGUUAUGGCCAUGGUUAUUGAAACAUGUUAACAGAAAAGCAAUACUUCAUUAUUCAGGCCAUGAUGCAGUAGAUUUACCCCAAACAGAUAGUCGCUAGAAUAAUUUAACCAGAUGUCUGUUGUCCAUCUGAAUGUGUUACAUAUACUGUAUCACUUUCACAGGGCUGAAAAAGGCCUUGUGAAUCAGACCAAAAUACAUACAUAUGCACCUAAAUCUUAACAAAUUGAACAAACUCGAGCAAAGGUAAGCAACCAUACAUACCUCUUGGUACAAAUAAAAGAAUUGCCUAAAACUCUGCAAAAUCAACCCAAGUAAUAAGUGGCGGCCAUGAACAUACAGCAAGCUGCUUUAACGGAGUUUACUGACCCAAUCUCAAUCCAAACAUAACAGCAUGACAAAAUAGAAACUUUGAGAGCUGGAAACAGCAGCAUGUCCAUAGAUACAUUCUCAAAAGAGAUCCACCUUCUUUUUGUGCAUGUCUUGCUUCCACUUGGGCUGCUGGUAGAAUGCUUCUCUUGUCAUCCCAAAAACAGUCUGGAACUCAUCAUCAGACAGAUAAGACUACACAAAAAAAAGGAGAGGAUCAACAGAUGAGCAUAAAUGGAGCACAUUCUCUUGAGAAAUUGUUAGCAAAAUCUAGGAUAAUAAGCUUCUAGAUUUUAGAGAAACUUUAGAGCAUGAACCUCUCUUCGUUUGUAAUCAAUUCCUCUAACAGGGUUUCUGGACUUGGAUUUUAGUCGUUCAUAACUGAAUAUACGUUCACCUCCGUCAUCUACUGGUGAAUCCUCUUUCAACUCAGAAUCAACUCCAUUAUCCUCUGAUUCUCUUUCCUCCAUGCCUUCUGCUGAAAUUUCUAGGGGAUCCCCCAUCUCAGAGCUCGCACCAUCAGUAUUCUCGCUAUCUGCAAUCAAUUGAAGGUAAAAUUUUAUUAUCCACUAAAUAAUUUUACUAUGGUAAAGAUAAGAUCCAUUUGUAAUUCGCAUGUACAAGGUGUGAUAUCAUUAGCAUAAAAAUGAUAUAUUUCUGCUAUACUCUCAUGGGAUCCAACCAACAUCACCAUGACCUGCAAACGUUAGGUCUAAAAUUCUCAUGGAGGUUCAUGUGAUAUUAAUGCAAUUGGUGCAUUCUUUUGUGCUUUAAAGAGAAUUGGUAGAAUGUGAUGACUAUAAUGAGUUCAUUUUAAAAAAGAUUUUUUUAUAAAGAACUCUACAACUCUAGUUCACCAAUCAACUGAUCAUACAUGAAAUAUAUCAUAUUUCCAAACCAACACAUACCAACAGGAGUGAAUGUAAAUUCAGAUUUGCCCUGGACCCUACCAAAAAUAGACUAUUACCCAGUCAAAUAUAUAAAACCAUGGGGGAAUCUUGAACCUCAAAAUUGAAAAGCAAUCAAACAGAACAAAGCCAACACAGUCAAAAAAGGCCUUUGCAGUCAGUAACAUUCUCCCUAAGGAGUCCCAUCCACCCUAUAACAUUUGCUUCACACUACAAUUGGUAAUACUAACCAGAGCUCAAUCAUAAUUGUAUUUCCAGUUGAUUCAUCCAGAAUAUUAAUAUUCUCAAAUGCAGCAAAAGAAAAAUAAGAAAGGAGAUAAAUCUUUUUCAUCUAUAAUCAAUAAUACCGUUAAUACUGACCGUUCUAAGCACUUAUAUGUCCUAGAUAUUCAGAAAGCUUCAUUUCCUUGCUUGAUAACCAGUACUUUCAGGUUUACACAACUAAGAUACAGACCAUGAAAUUAGACCUAAUAAUAUCAUGAAGCCACUUUGAGUGCACCCAAUUUUAAUUAUUCAGAAAGUCUUAAAUUAAAACCUACACCAGCUCUGACUUGCAGCAUCCAAUUCCAGACCUUAGACCCAAGGUCAAUUUAGGUCUGGUCCAGGUCAUGGUUGAUUAAGAUCAAAACAUUCAUUCAAGGUCCUUCACACAAGGAACCCACAGUUCUGAGAUCAUACAUUAUGUAAAUAAAUAAAUUAAAAUAUGCUUGUCUUUCACUGUAUCCAAGAGUAGGCCGCACUAUGGAGAAAGCAGUGCAGUCACUAUGAUUAUAGACAAAACUUUGCUCCAACUAUUUUUUGGGGGUGUUUUGCCAGGUAACCUGCAUAUGUUAACCCAUACACAAGUGUAAAAUGUAAUUGGGUCCUUUGAUUCAACUGGGGGAAGAAGCACUGCUUCCAUGGAUAUCAUAAUUGGGCAUCCAAACAUCCCUCCAUCUUAAAGGAAAACAACUUGAUAUGUAAACUUGUUUUACUAACUCAAAGAGCAACAAAUCAAGUUAUAGAAAACAAAAACAAAAAUAAAGACACUCUACCAGCAACAGGAUGUUCUGGUGAAGGGCUUCUGCUCCUGAAUUGAUUAGCAGUGCCUUCAGAUUGUGCCACCUUCUGUUCAGCAGUUAGAACAGUUGAUAGUGCGGCAACGGCAGCUGCUCUCUGUGAUCCCUGUCUUGGAUGAGAUGAUGGCUUUGGAGCUGCAACUUUGGGCACAGAAGAAGGAUUGAAGGCGGAAGAUAAGGCUGCUAAUGCAGAUGCCCUUUGUGUAGGUCCACCAUGAUUUGGAGUAUUGGAUCUUGCACUUGACUGCUGGAGCACAGAAGAAGGAUUGAAGGCGGAAGAUAAGGCUGCUAAUGCAGAUGCCCUUUGUGUAGCUCCACCAUGAUUUGGAGUAUUGGAUCUCGCACUUGACUGCAGGAUAUCAUUAACAGUAAAUUAUGAUAAUUUAAUAAAGAUAACAUCUAGUAAUAUCUACUCACAAGGUCUCAGUAUAUUCCCACUAAUAUUUGUUGGGUGACAAGGGGCGUAAACAUCCUAAAUGAGCACGAAAAUUUUGUGAAAACAUAUUUAAGAAAGAAAAUGACAAGUGCAUCAGCUAGAUAUGGAAACAAUUGAAUAAUCAAUCGCAAAGAGCUUAUCUAAUGGCCAACUACAAACUCUUACCAUUUUGCACUUUGCUAUGAAUGCACUAUGUAUCAUGUUAUGCAGUUCCCAACGAGCAUCUUAAUGGUAAAUUAUUGACUGUUAGUUAGGCUGCAUGUAGAGGUUUUGUUGAUGUUAUACUUUACCUAAAUUUGAGAAAUUCAGAGUUUUGAAAAUUGAGAUUUUUCAGAAGAUGUUUAUGGAAUUCCAUUUCAACUAAAUGCCCAGUAUAAUCAGAUCAUAACUGGUUAGUUUGAAAGAUACAUAAAAUCAUGAAAUAUCAUGAUUUUUGUAAAACAUGCAGACAUACCUUUACACGACUCAGAAAAGCAUGUACUUCAGCUCAAACUUUCGAAUGAAAAUGUUAGAUAUAGAAGUUUACAGUAAAAUAUAGGUAAGUAUAUGAACGUCAGCUUCACGGAAAACAUAUAUGGAGAUGAAGGCUGUAGUUACAUCAUAAUCUGAAGAUUCUCCAAAAAUAUCAUUCCUUACUUUUGAUCGAUCACAUAAGAAUAAACAGAACAUUUAUGCUGUCUUCAAUAGGUCCAAAUGAAGAUCAAAUAGACAUGUUUUUUUAGAAAUGUACUUGUCAAGCACCAUUAAAGCAGACCAAAGCUUUAAUGAGCAAUUACAGGAUUAUUGCAAAAAUAGAAAUGUUGAGGAAAGGGCAUGAAAUAACAAGUUGAAUAUAGUAAACAUGAGGACAUUUCGCUGAUCUAUGGUAAAACCGAAGAAAAAUAUAUUAGACAAAGCUGACAUAUCUAAAUAAGGAUAAAAAUGAUAAAUUUUUUUGAAAUGACUCAUGCUGGAUACAGGCUAGAUAUGAUUACAGGGACCAGCAUGGGCAAAAAAAAAUUAAAGAAAAUUGUUUGAGAUGCAUACGGUAGGAAAAUGAAACUGGUGCAUAAACGAUUUGGAUCUCAAUAACAUGAAACUUCUACUUAAGGUGCCACACUGAAUUCUAAAACUGAAUAGAAUCUUCCUCCCAUACUUUCUUAGCCCUUAUAUUUUUUUUGAGAGAUUCAUUACCCAACACCCGCACUCAUAACACUUUAGUCAGCUAAUUAGGACUUACGGGAGUUAAUAAUAGACUGACAAAUUAAGAUUUCAGUACAAGCAUAGAGAUUUGAGAAAGGGAUUUGAAGUCGUCUUCCAUCAUAAGUCUGCUUUGCGAGAACAAUGAAGUGGGUUCAUAAAGCCAACCCCAAUCAGAUUGGAAAAUUCUUGUUAAAGUCUUUUCGCCCGCCCAGUAAAUAAAGGCACUUGCAUUAGUCUUCAAAUCAAUAGACUAUCUAGAUUCACUUUCCGCUGAUCUUUAUGUAGAGGAAGGGCUUACUUAUCGAGCCUCCUACCACUGCUUUGAUCGCUGACGGGACAGAAUCUGCGAUUCGACUUGAUGAAUACUACUUGGCAAAAUUCUUUUCUUUCUACCUAUAGUAGACCCAUGGAUUCAUCAGGCAACAUGCGGAUAGAAGACUGUUUAGCAGAUCCAAACUUUCAGAAGGAAACAGACGCAGGUUCUACAAAAUGUACAAUUUUCACCUUUUUAAAAUUUAAAGAAAUGUUCAAUAUUAUAGGGUCCACUUAGACUAAAGUUAAAUUUCUUAGUAAGGUCUGCAAAAUCGGUAUUGAGAACCAUAGCAGCAUAUUACUGAUUCGGCACAGUACAGAUGGCAAGAUAAGCACCUCGUACCGACCCAGGCUCCCAACAUUUGUUUCUCACCCCAAGCCAUGGUAUAGCUCAAAACUGGGUGCCAUGGUCAGUAUCAGGCAGUUCCAUUUGAUUCAGACUUGUAUGGACUGGUUCAGCUCAUAUAUCGAACCAAACAUAGGAACUGUUCUGGUUCUGAACCAUUACAAUACGGUAUGUCCCGGUAUAGGUGGUUCAGGAUGGUUUGGCAAACCAUACUUCUUAUUUCUUGUUUAUGUAGAUUCAAAAUUAACUUGUGCUCCUACCAAGUGUCAAUUGUCUCAAGGAAUACAAGGUAGGCUCCACAGUUAAGUGAUAUAAAUAUUGUGGUCUCAAAUACUGGUUAAUAACGCUAGCCAUAACUUAAGGUAUAGGUGUUUUAUAUCACACACAUGAGCUCAAAAACUGCUAUGUCACAUAUAGUACAUGUUCUGUAUUGGGCAUGUAUCAUCACAUAGAUAAAGGCACUAUAAGUUGUUAUUUAUAGGUGCCACAACUAAACAAGCCCUGUUCUUCUCGCUCUGCCACUCUCAAGUGACACCCUACCUAUCCUUUGCCUUCUACCAAGGUUCCCCCAUUUAGGGUAAAGGUAGACAGCAACAAGCAGUUUGUAACCUCCUCACUUGUAAUAUCUAGCAGAGGAUGGAAUGGCAGUGAAUUGCAGGCAGAGAAGAGGAAAAAUUUUCCACAUACACCAAUCCUAAGCAUUCUUUUUUAGUACUAUUUCUAUGCAUCAUUUUUUUUUAAUUUUUCAAUAAGGCAUAUGAUCUUUGGGUCUUAAAAUUUAUUAAAGGGUUUUGUAUCAGGGACUAGAGCUUUGGGUCAGGUUCAGGACAGCUUCAUGCUUACUUUGAAUCAUAUAAAAUUUGUAUUAAGAAUUCAGGGUCACCUUGGCCUAGUCUCAACAAUUUCCACUCGGAUAUGUAACGCUUUCUGGUCCAAGAAAUGCUUGUUCUUUCUAUGUGGUACAUUCCAAUUAAUACUUGGUUAAAAUGUUUUAAUUUAUGCCAUGCUUGAUAGACUAAAUAUCCUGAAGUCAAUUAUUGCAGUUUCAUAACAACAAGCUUCUGCUUCCAUAAAUUGAUGGGUAUCAAGAAGAAUAGAUGGUAUUGUGAAAAGCACCUAGAUGGUAUUAAGCCAGCUGCAUAACCAACAGCCUGUUGUUUGCAUCCAAAGAAAUAAUUGGAAAAAAAGACUUUUAAGUAAAGUUGGAGUAAAUCUCGCAUCGUCAAAAACAUAUGAUAGUCAAAAAUUUUAAUGCUUCAUAAUAUUGAUGGCAUCUCCAAUGAACCCAUGUCACAUAUAAACUCUGGUUGAAUGACAAACUAAUCAGGAUGAAGUAAAACAUUAUUACAAAACUUUACAUCUCUAAUUGACUAAUAGUGACUGUCAAGACAAACUUUUACCUCAGAAGCUUGAAAGGCAGUGCCAAAUAACAGCGAGAGCUUCUUUUGAAAAGAAUUUCCUUGAACCUGUUUUCCAUUUUCCAUUAAUAUACAUAAGAAUCAUGGGAACUCUGCAUGUCCCAGAGAACAGAAAAAAGACAACCAUACCAUAUGCUCAAAAUUAAUAGGAAAUGGAUUGAGAAGAGUCUGAUUAAUGUGUGGCUUCAUCAUGCAUUUCAUAUCCAUUAUGGGUAUAUGAUGAUAUUAAACAACCUAGCUACAUGCAUAGAUCAGUUGUUAAAUGUUGAAAAGUUGCUUCCAUGUAAAUAUACAGGGAAAAGCUUCAAUUUCCCAGUUGAUUCAUGUUCCAAUAAGAUCUUCAUGGAAGGAAUUUGAAUAAUGUUUGUAACACACUAACAGCUCACUAGUUCAGAGAUAGCAUACUUAAAGUAGUUAAGACAUGGCUUGCUGGUUCCAAUCAUGCCUCUGUCAUGCUUCAUUGCAUUUAAAAAGAAGUUAGACACAUGAUGCUUCCGAACUUAUCUAGGACAGCCAGAGGAGCUGCUAACGAUGACAACAUUGUUAUAUCUAUGAGAUCCUCAUCUAAAAAAUCAUAUCUAUCAUUUGUUCUACGGCCUAGAAUGGUUGCUUUCAGAUUGCAUCAGCUAACACAGACAUUAAAAAUGAGUAUUUCUGGUAUUCAUUCAGUAAAUGAUUCCCAAAUUAAAUGAAGGAAAGAAAAUAUGACAAAGAAGAAAAAUGGAUUACAAUAAUUUGCAAAUGUGAUGACACUGUCCUACUAUUUUUCCUAACAUACUAUUGACCUAGACAUAAGUCUUUGAUAUAAUGAAAUUAAUUCUCGACCACAAAGCAAACUUAAGAUUAAUGAUUUUUUUUUAUAUAUAAAUAAAAAAGGUGUUUGUUUUCCAUAUCCUGUUUUAGCCCGUUCAGGCAAUGCCAGCUUGGUUAAAAUGAACCCGUUUUAUAACAUCUAACAUGGCAUCUAUGGAAAUACCCUAAAGCCACAUAUACUAUACAGUUUAGCUCAUAUGUAAGCUUAAAUCUAAAAUUACAGCCCUAAAAUCUGUGGCAGCAAUUAAAUCUGAAUGUGGGAAAACAGAAUUAAAUUCUAAACCUAAGGACAAAUCUAACUAAGGACUCCAGUACGUUACCAUACCGGUCAUACCAUAUUGUAUUUGUAUGCCUCUUGAUGCCAUACUGGCACAUAGUACUACAUCUCACAUUUGUUGUGCUAGCACCAACAGAUGUGCCGGGUAUCGGUACGGUACUUUACUUAGAUGGAUCUAGGUACUGGAAUCAAGACUUUAACCCUUGCAUCUAACUGAAAGCUACCAAUUAACUCUACCUAAAUUGUUGCCUUAACUGCCUUGUAAAGUUGUUUUGUUGUUCUCAUCUUAUAAAGAAACUAAACACGGGCAUUUUAUUGGACUAGAACUAUUCCACUUAAUAAGAGAAAAAAGGUCAAGGGAGAGAAUGGAAUAAACAAAGAAAGUAGAUUAUAGUGCAAGUCUAAGGAGAACUUAAAAUACACAUUCUUGAGUACUUCAAAUUGAAGGCUAAUGGUUUUCACUAAUGCCCUUAUUCAUGUCUAUUUACAACACUGAGGUCCAACAUUUGACAUCUGUUAUAUUACCAACCUAAAUCUAUUUUUAGAAGCAGAUGUUGUUGCAGAUUGCAAUACUUUUCAAUUUUCGAAUUAAUCGUAGCAAAAUAAAGAUAGUAUCAAUUGCAUAUGCAAUUAAAUAAACCCAAAGUAUGUCGUACCGGUCCGAACCAGAUGGUAUAGGGCAUACCAUACUGGUUCGGUACCGGUAUCUUGUAAAAGUGGCAUACCAUUACUGCACUGUACCGACACUGUGCUAGUGUGGCACCGAUACAGAGUCCGGUGCCAAGACGACAAACCUUGAAUAAAUUUAUUUAUGGGGAUGAUACAUUUUGAAGUAACUAAAUUAUCGACAAUUUGAGGCUUAACGAUAAUUGAUUUCAAGAUCAGGUCAAAGAAAGCACCAUGAGAAUAAAAAGAAUGUGAAAACCUAACUGACAUCAAUACAUAACUUCAUUAUUUUUGAUAACUUCAUCUCAAAUUUAACAUUUGUUGAAUCUUACAGCUGCGCAAAUUGUGCUAACAUUUAAAUUUUUCUUGGAACAAUUAUAGGUGGGCGUCACCACUUGACCCCUUGCACCAACCUAAAUUUACAAGAAGAAUACAAAAAGUGCCAUCUUAUAGAUGUUUUUUUCUCCGACUUCUUUUAUACGUCAUGAUGCAUCUCGAUAAAUUCUUUGGUCAUCAAAAUCCUUAAAAUCAUAAUCAUCCAAUAAAAUAUUUCUUAGAAGAUAAUCCUCAAGAGUCAAGACACAUUACUUGGAAGAUCCCCAGAAGUAGUCCCAGAAGACAAUCCUCAGGAAACAUAAACCCUAAAAGAAAACGCUCAGGUGACAUAAUCUUCAUAACAUCAACCACUGAAUAAUUUUCAAGAGAAACUUCUCAAAAGAACAUUGUUCUUGGAAGGCGAUGUCCAGGAGAUUCUCAGAAGACCAUACUGGAAAGGACAUAAUUCUUAGAUCUCUGCAAUUUAGCAAAAAGCAGCACACCUCUUCAAUCUUCCAUUCUUGCAACAUUUCAAAACCUCUUUUAAUCAGUCCACUUUUCAACAAAAAAAGAGAAAAAAUCAUGAUGGUCAUAAAUGGGAAGGCAUCAUCCAUUAUCAAAUUUUUCCGGAAACAAGAAAGUUUUGCAACUCGUUUUUUACUUCUAACUCCCUAAACUGUUACUGCAGAUUGAUCUGAUUAAAAAAAAGAAAGAAAGGAGCUAGCAAUGCCUAUGAUGAUGGCAGCUAAAAUAGUAAUUCAAUCAUGAUCAUUAAAUGAAAAGGCUCCAUCCAUUAGAUUAAUCAAUUUAUUUUGGACAUAAUAAAGUUUUCAAUCUUUUUACUUCGAACUCCCUAUACUGUUGCUGCAGAUUGAUCUAUUUUCUAAAGGAGAUAGAAAUGCCCAAGAUGAAGGCGAUUAAAAUAGUAUCCCUAACAUGAGCCCAUCAUCUUACAGAAAAUUGUCUGAGGCCAGGUUUUUUACCCCAAAUGGCCAAAUUUCCUCAAGAUGUCAAGUCAUGUCUUUCUAAGCACACUCAUCGUCAUUCCAUGCAUCAGGCACAUGAUGCAUGUGAGAGGAAGUGUAUGUAAUACUAGAGAUAAUUACCAAAGGAUUUCCUUUUCUAGAGAAAAGGAAAAUUGUAUGAAUCAUGGUGAUGCGGAGGUAUUUUAUUCAGCACAUUCCUUUUUCUUUUUACGAGAAUUCCUUUUUAAGAAAAAAACUGAAUAAAAAAUGGAUAGAUGUCAUAUCAUGGGCAGACCUAUUUUUCCUUUUAUUAAGAGUUUCCCUGCAACCUUAGGCUUACCCUAUUAGAGCCCAUUUUUUGGCGGAUUUUUGUUUGCUGCAUGGAUGAAUACUGUUUGAAUGUCACAGAUGACUGGUAUUAACUGAAAGUUUGCUUGAGGUGUAUAUUUUGAUGAAAGAAUGGAUAUAUGCAUGUGACUGUAUCCUUAGUGGGUAGCCAUGUGUGUGUGCCACUAGUUAAGAUCAUCCAUUUACUUAUCUAAGAAAUCUUUAGUCAAAACAAUGCUUUAGUAUUUGCUUAUGUUACCAAAAUAAAUGAUCUAAAAAGUUCUCUAUUUCAACAUUGAAGUUACACAUAAAUGAACAUUGAACCAAGAACAAGAAAUGAUAUCCUAAGAGUGCAGAACAUACAACUGCCUUUGUUCCAUCCCAGGAAAAAUAUGUGGCAAAGAAACAUGGCUCAUUGCCUUCUGUAACUCUGUAGAGUGGCACAUCUGGAGAUAACCCUUCCAAGGCUGCUGCAAGCUCUAUGUAUUUCUGGAAAGUUUCUUUAAUGAAGUUAAACAAAAGCAAACAGAAUACUAACAGCACAAGAAAAAAGGAAGCUUCUUACCUGACCAAUUUCAAAAGCCUUCUGCCUUUCCUUAGGAUCCACAGACUGACCAACCCAAACAAAGACUUCUGCAUGAGUGUCAAGUAUCAAUAUGUCCUCAGUCAACAGAUCAUCUUGAGAGAAGUUGUAUACUUCAGUAACCUGCAAGGAUGAUUGAGGGGAUUCAAUAAAAAUAUUAUGACAUCACAUAUUGAAACCAUAGAUAAGGCAAGUUAUCUAACCUCUAAUUUUCCUGAGGAAUCAUCAUACAUGCACGAGAAAAAAAGAUGGCAUCAGAUUCAGGUAAUUCAGAUAGGGAUAGGACAAGAUAAUGAGAGUCAUAUCAUCAUAAUUAGUCAACAAGUUCUAGGACAAAGCUAACCUUUACUAAAGGAAAAGGUGUACAAGUGAGGAUCUCUAACAGUAUCCUGUAUGACCUUUUUAGUGGUAAAGCUUUGCUUUCCACCAAGUGCAAACCAAAAUGCAGAGCUCUCUGUACCUUCCUUGGCAUGUUUCAGUGUAGCACCAGGCUGUAGCAUUAACAACUCCAUAAGUAGUUAAGAAAUAACUUCCCAUAGAAUUCAAGUAAAAUUGAUUCUUCAAAAUGUGAAAUGCAUCGCAGAAAACAAUAUAGUAACAAGCCUUAUCAUGUAAAUUUAUAAAAAUAGGCCAUUCAUUUUUCUAUGUAGAUUAUCUAGAAAGCAAAUUUCACAAUGCAUACAAUCUUUUGCAAAUAAAGCCAAUAUAAGCUUAGAAUCUUCUUCUUGAUCAUGCAAUAUAUAUGAUCUUAAGUGCAUAUUAUGUUUCCAUUCUUUGUUGAUAUAUGUUCUAAUACAAUAUAAGGCCCUAAUUUUUUUAUCUAUAUAGAUGAUUCAAAUAAUUGUAUACCUCUAUAAAAAUAUUAAAAAAAUCCUCCAAAACUUGUCUCUUCUCUGAAAACAUAUACAUAAUCUAGAAUGUAGAUUUUACAUUUGGUUGAUUGAGAAGAGGAAAUACAUGACAACAGAAAAAAAAAAAAUCUAGAGUAUACCUUUAAAAAUUCUGCAACUUUUGCAGCCCAAUUUUGCUGCUCGAAGGUAGUGGAACUUCCAUGCCAUAUGAAAACAGAAUGUCCAGAUUGCAAUAGGAAACAGUCAGUGGAGCUUAGGGACGCUGCUACCUGAACCAUAGAUGUUAAAUGGCAUUGAUGCUGACAUCCACGUCAGAAAAUACAACGGUAACAUUCUUGGCUACAACAUUUAAAACAGAAAAUGGCAACUUUAUUUGAGUAAACUGAGUUAUCUUCAUGCAAGAACAUGAUAAUGCAUGAUUUGAUGAUUUGAUCAAUCUGGUUUUUCUUUUUUGUUAUAAAAAAAAACUCUACUUUUCUUCUCACGACUUAAAGUUCCGCAGGCAUGGUUAAUCUAAAAUUUAGCUUGCUAUACAAUUCAAAAUCAUCGAGUACCAGAAACAAAAGUUAAUCCUUCAAUACUAAUUUUGAACUCAGAGAUCUGUACAUCUUCAAUAAUGUGAUCGGCUACUUAUCCAAAACUGGAGGAAAAUCAACAACCAAGACAAAUGCCAAAAAUAACAGCUCCAGGCUUAUGCUAAAGCAAAAUGUUUUUCAGUUUAUAAUCUGCAUUGUUUUGUUCAAUUAAGCACAGAAGGUUGUGGAAAAGCAUCAGUGAACAAGUAAACAGGAAUAUAAUAGAAAACUUAUGCACAUACCGCAUCAACUUGUACAGCUUGAUUAUUGUGCACUGAUGUACCAGACACUCGAAUAAGUGCAAUACCAUCAGAAGUGUAAGUAUCAUCAUUUCCAUUCUUCUCAGAAAUUAACUUUUUGUAUCCAGAACUGAUUCCGCCCUAUAAUAAAAGAAGCCAAGAUUAGGAAAGAUCAAGGUUUAAAGUACCAAUACCUAUAUUGGUAUCAUACUGGAACAGUAUGAACCAGUACAAUACGGUAUGGUACUAACACACAGCAUGCCUCUUUGUGUCAGGACAGCAAAAUGGUGGUGAAACACCAUUUGUCAGCACAUUACUAGUAUGAUCCUGUACUGGGUACCACUACCGUACCAAUAUGACCCAAUACAGCUGGUACCAACCAGUGCAUAUCAAUAUCUAGAUCCUUGAGACAGUUAAUCAACACUCUCUCGUCUCUCGUCAAUAUCAGUAUGCAUUUUAUAAGUUUGUUUUAUUAAUCCUGUGAUUGUCAAGUCAACAAAUAGUACCUUCAAGAUAACCAUAGGUUGAAAAAGUGCAAUAAAUUGGGGUGGUUCUUUCCCUUGAACAAUGCGACCCUGCAAGAUAUCUUCUAUGAUAAGUAGUAAUUCUACCCUAAGAAAACAACAUUGCUUUGCUUCAAAUGAUAAGAGAACACAAUACCUGAACAGGUCGCCCUUUCAAAGAGUUGCACAUUGUAUUAGCUAACCGAUUGGCCAUCACCCGAUCAUCCUGAAGUAAUAUUCAGAGAUUAUGAAGAAUGAAAAACUUUUUAAAAAUUGAAAAAGAGUUAUUAGCCUCAAACUUUCGAUAUUCUCGUGAUCUUCAAUACAAGUUACAUAGCAUAAGAUAAGGAUCAAUGAAUGAACAGAAAGAUGAAGAAUAUGAUAUGAAAAGUUUUUGUUUAAAAUAAGUCGAUAGAUGUUUUCUGCAAACAUGACACAUUUAAUGUCAACAAGAAAAUUCCAGAUUGAUUAAUGAAUAACAUGACAAAUAAUAUACUUGCUAAAAUAUGGACACAUAGCAACCUGUAUAGAUAUACAGGUAGCCCUUUCAAGGAGUUGCAAAUUGUAUUAGCUAAGUGAUUGGCCAUCACCCAAUCAUCCUGAAGUAAUAUUCAGUGACUACAAAAAGUGAAACACUUUUAAAAUAUUUGAGAAAGAGUUAUUAGUUUCAAUAUCCUCAAGAUCUUAAAAGCAGGUUCAAUAGCAUAAGAUAAGGAUCAAAAAAUGAUCAAAAAGAUGAAGAAUAUGACAAAAAAAGUUUUUGUUUAAGACAGGUCGAUAGAUGUUUUUUAUAAAUGUGAAACAUUUAAUGGUAACAAGAAAAUUAUAGAUAGAUUAAUGGAUACAUGGCAAAUAAUAUACUUGCCAAAUAUGGAUACAUGUAUAGGAUACAAAAUAUAUAAUAGUAUGUAUACAAAAAGACAAAAUGGCCAUAACAAUAACCAUCAAGUCUUGUCCCAGUUAUCUAGGUCUGCUUCAUAGAUCCUUGACCAACCAUACCUAUGCACUACUACCUUCAGUGUUACUCCACCUGUCAUCCAUUGUCUUGAAUCUUCCCCUGCUUGUCCUAACCCUUCAAUACACAUUGGCAUGUUCCCUUCACCAAGGCCUCUUCCUCAAAUAGGUGCAACUUUUAUGCCUCUCCCUCUAGUGAAGUCAUUCCUCAUUUUAUCCCUCCUAAUUUUACAAUACAUCCAUCUCGACAUUCAAAUCUCUGCCACAACCACCUUGCUCACUUGGGUCAUCUUUAUUGCCAACAAGCCGAACCAUACACAAUUGCAAGCCAUUGUUGUCUAAUAAAUUUUCCAUAUUUCAAUGGAGUUGUCAAGGCAUCAACCAAUCAAUGUAGACCUGCAAACACUCUCUGCUUCAUUCACCAAAAGGCAAGUUUUAAAACUUGGUUUUGGUUCAGUUUUGAUCCCCUAGGUAGAGUUUUGGUUUCAGAAAUUUUACUCAUUUCAGAGUUUCGGUCAAAGAAAGUGAUCCUGGUGCGGGCACCAGUACCAGACCACCUAUCACUUGGGUCUACAGUCGCCGCAGGAGGAUGGUCCAGCCAUUUUUAUUGUGGUUAGAGUGAUUUUGUUUCAUUUUGAUGGCCUUUGGGCUUAGUUAUGUAUUUUUAUCUUUGAGGGCCUUUGUGAGAUUGGCUUCUUGGUAGGAAAUUUUUUGUAUUUUGGGUCUUGUAUAUAUGUUGGACCCAUAGUAUGCUGAACCGGCCCGUAUCGGCCUGUUCAGCACGUACUGUAUUGGUCUGGCCCUGAUCGGUACAAUUUAGCUAUGGAAAACGGUAUACGGCCCGUACCAAUAGAACCCAACCAGAGCCGAAGAAGAAGAGGAAAGAGUGAGCGGGGGAGGGAGGGAGAAGGAGAGGCCUCCGCCACCAUCGGAGGGCUGGCGAAGGCUGCAACGGGGCGACGGAGCCCAUGGGGGUGAGGUAGAGGCUGAGGCCGUGGAAAAAAAAUUGGAAUUUUUAAGUGAAGUCGGCAGGUGAAUCGCCGACUUCACUUAAAAAUUUUAAAUUUUUUUCAGCGGGCUCCGCCACACCCCCGCGGGCUCGGCUGGCCCCCCGCGGCCCUCCGUUGGCGGCGGAGGCCUCUCCUUCUCCCUCCUUCCCCCGCUCACUCUCUCUUUCACCUCGUCUUCUCCGGCUCCGGCUCUCGAUACGGGCCCGGUACCGAAAUGGUACCAAGAACGAUGAACCAGUCUGGUAGGCUACCGGUACGCCUACCGGUACCGGUUCGGAAUACUUGGUUGGACCAUAUGUUUGUAUGGGACAUGCUAUGAAUGAAGAAAUGGUUCUUCCUUUUUGAGCCCUGGUGUGAAGCCAAGAGCAAGAGCUAGGUGUGAAGCCUAAUUCCCUUCCCCCCUCCCCCUUCCUCUUCUUUUUCCUUCUUCUCCCUCUUCCUUGCUGUCCGGCGUCAGAUCCAAAAGUUAAAAUUAAGAACAAGUGUCAAGAGAAGCUAUUGUAAUCAUUGUAGUCACAUAUAACUUCAUAUUUCGUGAUUAUUGCUGAAGGAAGUGCACUAAAAGAUGUUUAGCUAUAUCGACAAAUUGAGUUGCAUCCUGUAUACAUGCUAUCAUGAAUUACAUUUCAGGAUGAAUGAAUAUACAAGAAGCUUAGGAAGGAGAUCUCUGUUUCAGUGCUCUUGUACUCAUCUUUUCAAGCAGCAUAAAGAAAGAACAAAAGGUUCUACAAUAUUUCUCAAGCAGAUCAAGGACCAUAUGUGAAAAAAUGUUUUCACUCCUCCAGGCUAUGGAAUUCUUCAUCAAAUCACUCUUUAGUUUGUUGCUUUACUACAUAACCAAAAUCUAAUAACCUAUUGAAAGCAUAUCUGAGGAAAGGUGAAUAGAUUAUCAAACAUGUGGGUAGUCAAGAAAUUAAGGGCUUACCAUGACAAGAAUAAUAAUCAUUUGACAGGGCAUGAUCAAGAUGCGAGGCCCUCCUAUAUAGAGGUCAUUUUAGAAGCUGCGAUAGACAGAUUUCAAUUUUUAAUAUAUAAGCGAUGCAAAUAGAGAGCCUAUCAUAUUAGGGUUCUAUAGCUAACUCACAGAUCAUCAAGGAUAUUAUUGAUCAUUCUUUGAUUCAAGGAGUCAUCCCAUCUUAAUUGAAAAAGGAAAUCUUAGUUAUUGGCUGAUAUUUACCAUUAAAUUGUGGUUAGAUUAAGUUUGCUUCACAUACAGGGUAUGAAGGUUUAAAGAGGUGGUUCUGGUGGAAGAGAAUUUUGUAGAGAAUAUUAUGACAAAUUACAUAUAAGAUGUUAUUUUGAUUAAGAAAUAAUAUUUAUUUUUGUAUUUUCACAAGGGCCAUUGAUUGGUGCAAUAGUGAAAGACCUGGGAUGGGAAUUGCAAUGGUAGGUUCAAGUCCUAGGGAAGCCACUCUAUGAAAAAUGCCAACUGUUAGGUCUAUCCCAGUCCGCUCCUCCCAGGACCCUGGAUUGCUAGAACCAUAAUUGAGUAGUGGCCUCUUUUUAUAUAUUUUUAUAUUUUAAAAAAGCUAAAAAGUUGAUAGAUCAUUUCUACUAAAUGAGAUUAUCUGAAUCAAGUUUCGCCGCUCAGUAUUGGAACCCUGCCGGCACCAUCUUAUUACAGUAUUGGUAUGCGGUACAAUAUGAGAUGAUGAGACGUAUCGAGUGUCGGUAUGGUACAGUAUGUCCGAUAUGGUACAUUUAGUAUAGUCCAGUACUGAUGGGUACGACGAACCUUGAUUUGAACACUUCAUAGAAUCAUCAUCCUUUAAAUUGUUGAUGGCUUCACAAGCAACAAUCUCAACAUUAAUAAUCUGAAAUGCCAAUAGAUCAGAACUUUGCAAAUGUGUUUUCUCAUCAUAUUUUGCAUAUAUUACAAUCUUAGUAACACUAAAAAGCAUGGUUUACUGCACCCGUCAAUACUAGUGUGUACCGACCCAUACUAUAUUGUAUCGGUACCGAACCGAUAUGCAGUAUAAGAGACGUACCGAGUGUCAUUACAUCGAACUGGCCUCUGUAUUAGAUAUGCUGACAUAGUAACAAAAUGGAACCAGCAAGGGGUUCAAGACCAAGAUGGCGAACCUUUCUAAAUAGUAUAUCAAUUAUUAGCAUAAAAGCUCAUUCUAAGCACAUAAUUACAUAUGGAAUCAUGUACCUGAACACUGUCCUUUCCCAGCCAACAAGCCAAAAAGUAUUCCUCUUUCUUCUCGCUUGAAUGAUAUGUAUAAAGAACAAUAUAACAGUCUCCACUGUAGAAUUUACCAACCUCUUCCUUAGGAAUUGGGGUCUUGGCACUUCCAUUGAUUCGCCAUACCUGAGAUAAUCAUAAUUAUACUUCUGAAACAAUACUUUUAAUAAAUUAAAACAUAUCCAUUAUAUCCGUUCAAAUGCAGAUCAUAACAUACAACAAAAACUGUUAACAAACCUCAAUUUUUCCAGCCCCUUGAAGCAACGGUGGGACUUCCUCAUUAACAGGAGAACCUUUUGCCAUGCCCUUCACAUCAAUACCCUGUUGCUUUAGCAAAGCUACCAAAACACCAGAGAUUUUCUUAACUCAAGAAAAAUAUUCCAGUUACUGAUAAUCCAAUUUAGCUCAUAUUUGAAGAAUCAACAACUACCUGCUACCUUUCCUCUUCCAUCCUCACCAACAGAUGUUGCCGUUCCCAUACCAAUUGGCCAAGAUUCAAAGUUGGACUUGAAUGAAUGUGUUUCAAAACCUUGUAUGAUUUGAGUUAUGCGUGUCGCCUUUGGCCUAUUUUGGUUAAUGAUAAAUUCCUGAAGAUUUGGGCCGGUAAGUACACUCACUGGAAUGCUCACCAAGAAGUAAAUGAUGUCAGGUCCCUACCUCAGCAGCUUUGCUGGCAGCUUUUCUAUCCUCAACUUGAGUUACCCGACCAACCCAUACAAAUACCUCAGCCCCACAAUCCAGUAAAUAGCAUUUGUCAUUCUCUAGCAUGGCUUUGGAAAGUGCACUUUCUUCUAGCAUCAACUGACCAUCAUUAAUACUGCAUGAAGGGGAAAAAAUUCAUGUCAUCAUGAUGCAUGAAAGUUGAAAGUUGAAACUAAUUUUAUCUUUUCAUAGUAAAGUUAGGACUAGAAUUUAUAUUUAAGUAUUAAGAAAUAACACUAUUAGAGACAUAUAAACAACAAUCUCUGCCAAAUACAGCAUUAUGCAGUUGACGAUUUAAUGCUCCAAAUAUCCAAUCAUGAGCAAUUUUCCUUUUUCUGUCAGCUGACUGGUCCUGGACAACACUGGAGAAUGACUAGGAUGAUUUUGAAAAUUUUGUAGUCUGGGUGUAGGCAUAUGAAAUCAAGUGCACAUUCCCAACCAAUAUUGAAGCUCUAUCCAAUAUUUUCAGUUUUUCAAUGAAAGGGUCAAGAUAAAAGAAGUAGCAUAUCCUAGAAGUUUGCUUCAAAGUUACAUCUAAGAAUUUUUUUUUUUUUAAAAAAAAAAUCAACCUGGACCAUUGACAAAAUGCUUUGGACAGCUGAAUGGUAAUAUUUUAAGAUAUGUAUAUGUAAAUCAUAUGUAAAAUACACGCUGCCACUACAGUUCCUUCUGAAACAAAGACAUUAUUUAUGAUCUACUUUACACUCAUAGACCAACCACUCCAUUUCUAGGAGCCAAGUAACAUUUGCUACGGCACAUUAAUGCAAUCAAAGAAUGUUCAGAAAUGUGCUGAGAAUUAAGUCACACUUUGAGGUAGAUCAUAUUAAAAUAGAUCAAGGGGAAGCCUAUGCAACUCAGUUUCUACAACUCUGAUGUUUAUCUCAGAAUGGUUGCAUGCAUAAUCAGGGCUACAGUGAACAAUAAUACCAUGUUCCAGAUAUAACAGUUUCCUUUUACAUGCAUUACCAUGCAUUUAAAUAGAUACCUAUAAAGCUUGCCAGGAGUAGAUUCCAGAGUAUGGUCAUCCUCAGAAACAGUCUUCUUGCCAAUUGGUGCAAAGCCGCCAAAUAGCACCCAAAAUUCACCUGAAUCAGACUCUGCCUGGAGCUUUCCAUCAUCUGACAUCAUCCGAGUCAAUUUAUUGAUAAAUAAAAAUACACAUACAGGCACACAUGCAAACAUAGAAAGGUUUCCAAAAGGAUGAGUAAUCUCACCAAUAAUUGCGACAUCACAAGUUCCUUCAUGGUAUUUGUCCUUGAGAUGCUGUAUUACUUCUAAAGCUUUAGCUCUUUCUUGAAUAUUAGAAUUAGCACCAUUGAAUUGAUAUAUUUUGUUUUCAGUGUCCAAGAUAAACACAUCAUCAUGGUUUAGUGAAGAGCGAGCAAAUGGAACCUACACAACAAGUCAUGAAUCAUCAUUUCUCCGGACCACACCACUUUCAAAUUCAAUAUUAAAAGUCAUAAAGGUAUAAGCCUCUACCUGCUUCAGUCUAACAACCCUUUUUCCUCUACAAAUAUAGAGACGCGUUUGAAAAGUUUCCUCUUCAGGCUUUUUGAAUCCAGAAGCAACACCCCCCUCUAGUGGAAUAAUGCAUGGUUUGAACAAUGACAAAAACUUGUCAGAUUCAUGACCCUGGAGUUCCCUAUGCUGAACUGCCCGGCUUCCAAGGACUGCAUCAAGUUCAACAGUCUUGAUAGCAGCAGUUCCAGCUUCAUCCUAAUAUGAUUCAUAAGAUAGAUCAGUUAGAAAUUAUGUUGCAAUAAGUUACUGCACAUGAUAUUAAUGAGUUUAAAGAAGCAUACUUGGCUAGUGUCUUUUCCAAGCCAAAAGUGAAUGUCAUAUAGAUAGGCACCUCCUUUUCCAGCAGUUGUCUGCAGUAAAUAAUGCUUCCAUUUAAGUGUAAAAGAACAUAUACAUCAACUUUUAUUUCCCCAAAGGUAUCAAGAGUAGCACAUGGCCAUCUAAAAGAGUUGGCAUAAGAAAUCAGAAACAAUUUUCAUGUUCUGUCAAUACAAAAAAAAAGCAUGCAAACAAACCACAAUGGAAAAUAUGAAGAUUCUUUUCCCUUUUAAAAAUAACACAUUUGUCCAUUGUGAGUUCCAAUGAAUUUAUGAAGGUACAGAAAAACUUAGGCAGUAGUUGGCUGUUGAGAAAGUAAGAAAAGAGAAUGAGGAGAAUAAUUUAUUUCUUUUUCAUUGCUUGGAAAUAUAAAGAUAAAUUAGAAAAGAAAAAUGAGAACAAAAUAAUAGGCUAAAAUUCUCUCCACGAACUUAACUUUUACUCCAUUCUAUGUAAUGAUGAAUAAACUGAAAAAAGGAAAUUGCAUCAUGAAAACACACAGAUCCCCUAACUAUGUUCUCCAUCAUUUUCUCAGUUCUGAUGAAGAAGUGAAAAUCCAAAAUUUCUUUUCUUAUCUUCUCCUUUUCUCUUCCACUGAAGUUUAUUUACCUUUUUUUUCCAUAUUUGCGGGCAGCCAAACAGAGCUUCAAGGAACUCCAUACAAUUCCCUCCAACCAAUGCUACACUUUUGUUUUAUCAGAAAUAACGAUGAUACCCACAGAAAAAGACCAGACAUGAUUAUUUCUGCACUACAAACAAAUUAAACAAAUGCAUAUACAUCAAAGAUCCACCCUCUUCACGAGUUUCAAUUUCAAAAUUCCUCUAGUUCACCAGCUCCUUUAAUCUGUUGCAUCUCUCUACAUGCCCCUAGGCAUUCGACAAUUUAAUGAAGAAAUUCAAGCAUGGAUGGAAUGUGGUUUAUGGAAAAUUGUGCCAAUAAAUAUGUUUUUGAAUUGCUGUUAGCCUUUUGUCACUCCAGUUUAUCAGGGUCCCUGGUUAAGCUAACUGGAGGCAGCAAAUUACUAACUUUACCCUGGUUACUCUCAACCAAGGGCCCCAUUGACUUCCCACACUCCCCCUUCCAUACAAGCAAAACACCCUUUCCCCAUCUAGGGUUUUGUUACCUCCCUUCAUCCCCUGCCUAUGUUAUGGUCAUCGAUGACUUGCCUGCCAAUGGAUAGUGCCACUCAAUCUUGUGGUGACACCCUCAUUCCCAUCAUUUGCAUCAUCUACCAUCGCCUAUACCAUCUACCGCCAUCUCCCUAUUGCUAACACUAUCUUCAAUCGACCUUGAGAGCCACAAGCCAGCAACUGAAAAACUUUGGUUAUGUUAACUUCAACCUUUUCAUGCUUAAUUUUUAUCAAAAAAUUUGAUUUUGUAAACUUGGUUGAUUGGAUCAUUGAUUUGGUUGAGAAGCCCCAUCAGGUGUACAAGAGGGAUGACAAUGACCUAGUGAUUAAUAGGAAGAUUUCACUAAUAGAGGGGCUUUUAGGGACCACCUUAAAGCUCCCCACCCUAAAUGGUCGUGACUUGUCAAUACCUGUGGUAGAGAUGGUGAGCCCAAGCUAUGAGCUAGUGAUAGCAAAGAAGAAAAUGUUGACUUCUAAGCAGCCAUACAGGAAAGGGUGCAUUGAGGCUCACAGCAAUACAAUAGGAGGCAUUUGACACAUUUUGCGAAGUUAACUUGACAAUAGUUGGGAAUAAAAUGUUAUGUAUCAUAUCCUAUCUAUAGCAAAUUCUUUUAUGAAUUCUUUUGACAAUGUAUUUGUUUCUUCUCAAUUCGAUAUGAUCAUUCAUCACAGAAUGUAUUGUUUCUAAUUGUAAAGUGGUGAUAAUUAACCAUCUAAACUACUUACUAAAAAUAUCGGUGGUAUUAUAAUUUGUGGAAUGAAAAUGACUCCACAGUAACUCUGCCUAUGUUUUGUAUGUAGCCAGUCCGAAGCCAAAUAAAGGAGGGUUGCAGUUGGUGGAUGACAGGCAUAAAACUAUAGUCACAUCUUGUGAACAUGAAUCCAUAUAAGAAAAACAUUUGGGCAUUCCCUAUUAGCGACACAUUGCAUCAGACUUCAGGUGGAGUGAAAAGUGAGCAAGGGUUAACUAAGACGUCCCUCAUAAGCUAUGCACUACAUUGAUACCCGGAUAAGGUUGGAACUUGGAAGUAAGAUAGGCGAGGAUUCUCACAAUUUAAUGGUAGGUGUCAGUAAAGUUUGUCCAAGAAAGAAAGAUACGAUUAGUAACUUGGAAUAGAGAGUCAUUGAUAAGAAACUUGAUGGAACUAAUAUAUGCAAUGACUAGGAGGAGAGUUAAUAUAGAUUGCCUACAAAAAACUAAGUGGAUAGGAGAAAGUCAAAAGAAGUUGGUAAGAUGAAUUAUAAACAAAAAAUAUAGAAUGCUUUAUAAACAACACAAUACGGGUUAUAAACUACUAGUUAUGUUUUACGAUACAAAAUGCCGGGCGAUUAGAAACAACAGGUGCACAAGAUGAGUGUGGCUAAAAUGAAAAAUAUUGAGAUGGAUAUGCGGUAAGAAAAUAUAUUAUAAGAAAUGAAGUCAUUCGUAAAAAGAUAGAGGUAGCAAAAAUUAAGAAGAUUAACACAUUUUCAUGGCUAAUGGAAAAAUUAAGCAGCUAAAAAUAUGAUUUUUUGAUUACCUGUAAAACAAUGUAAGAGUCCCCUGAGUAGAAUUUCCCAUAAUCAGAUUUCGGCAAAGGAACAGGCUGGAAGUUCUCAAUCCGCCAGAUCUCUAUCCCCCUAUGUUAAAGUUAAGAAAUUGCGUAGGAUAUUCAACAGCACGACCAGUUUAAAUGCUUUACCAUCACAAUAGCUAGACCCUUUUCAUGGAAAAAAAAAUAGAAAACUGGAGGAAAAAACGUAAGGGCGUUAAAUAAAAUUUAACAAGAGGAUACACUUUUUGGCCAACUCCCUGAAAUGCAGGAUCAAGAUUUUUUGUAGAUCCAGCCAUAACGUAGUAACUUUCACUAAUCCUUCUCAAAAAUCCAAUAGUAGAGAAGCUGCCUUCAAAGAUAAAGUGGUGCUAGUAACAUCAACAAUUUACCAAAAUACCAGCCACUGCAAGAAAAAAGAGACAUUAAGGAUAUAUAAUUGGAGCAUGUAGCCUAGUACACUGUAAUCUGGUUUUAUCAAUCUAGCACUGCAAUCCCUCAAUAGCAUAUAAUUACAACUAGCAGACAUGUUAUUUCUGAGAAAUUAGAAUGUGAGGUACCUUGUUAAAAUAACAUUAACUAAAGCCGAAGCGAAAAGCUAAAUUAAGACUUGAUGCUCCUCUUCUAUCUUAUUUUCAUAUGUUAUACUUGAGUAGAGAGAUCAAGCAUGUCUCAGUGUCAAUCUACAUUGUAUUUUGCCAAAUGUAGAUCUACCUCAUCAUAUAAUUAGUGUAAACAGGUGUUCAUCAGCACUGAUUCAAAUGUUUCCCAUAUGGAUGUAAAAGAUACAAUGAUAGACUAUGAUGCAGGCUGAUACCGGUGGGCAACAUGAUAGACAAACCCUUUUAUGUUUACGUGUUAUUUAAGUCAGUUCAGUUCUAAAUUUUUUCCCUGAUCAAUGCCUUCAAUACUUCAACAACUUCUGAUCUUUGAUUAAAAAAAAAAUUGUCUAGUCCAAUAUAAUGCUAUAUUAGCUUGUGCCUUGACUUCUUUCCAUUGGUAGGCACACAUGUUCAGAAACUAUUUUAUCCAUGAUUUGCAUGAAAUUUGGUACGGUCGAUUAUCCUCAGAUUCUGGUAGGGUUUACAAUCCUAAAUUUACAUGGAUAGAUUAAAUCUCAUCUGUAAGUGUAGAAAAUGCAUUUAAUGCCUACUAAAACCGAUAAAAACAGACUACUGAGACGGGGAAAUGUUUUCUGUAGCUCACACUUAUCAUUCUAAUUAUGUAUUUACUGACAUGAUGGUGCAAUUUAUGCUGUAAUUUUCAUAAACACCAGCCUCUGACCAGCCCAGGCAAAGUCCUUGUUCAUAGGCAAAUGUGUAGAAAUAAAAUGAAUCAAGUAAUUAAAGAAAAAAUACAUUAAUGUGAUCAAUGUUAUGCAGGAUAUAAACUCAUGGUAGAAUAUAAAUUUGGCUAGCAUUCAACCUGAAUGCCUGUUAAGAGUAUGAUGGAUGAAAAAGAGACUCACAAACACUGCUUGCCCAAUUGACUCCUCUAAAAUAAUAGGUUCCUUGGAGAGGAAUGACAAAACUACAAACAAAAUUGGAUUUCUAAAAUGGCACAACAUGUGCAUAGAGUGUUAUUGAUACUGGCUGGAUAUUGGCACAAGGUCACAGAUUUUCUGAACACUUAAAAGAAGUAGGAUCUGCUGACACAGUAAGCUAUAUUUUAGAUGUGUUAUACAUAUGCAUAUGCACAUUAUUGAUUUAAUAUCAGUAAAGGAAGAGAAUUAAUUAAGGACCAUACAUUUCUUGUGGUAGAGUAACAACUAAAGGAAAAAAACAUAUGAACGACAGUCAUUCAUCACGAAAAAUGUAGCAUACUUACCCCCUCUCCCCUAAAAAAAGGGUCCUAUCCACACAGACACUAAGGGCGGGUUUGGUGUUGCUUUUGCUUUAUAAGAAGAGAAUGAAAAGACAGAAGCUAGGUUUUCUAUCUUCUUCUAGAGUGCUUUUUCUGUUUGACUUUUCUUCUUCCAGAAGAACUUAUCGUAUAUACUAACAAACAUAUUUUUCCCAGAUGUGCUUUUUUGCUUUAAAAGUUGUAAAAGUACUAUUUUAAGCAAUGCCAAACAUGUCCCAAGUCAAGGACUUUACACCCUGAUAUUAUGUUCGGUCUACAUGCUUUAGUAAUCUAGUAGACUAGCCUAGCUUACAAUGCAGUCUAGCAUAGCCUGAAUUUCCAAAUAGCAAAUUGCUGUUCUUCAAUUAUUUGAAAAUGGAACAACAGAAACGUUACUAAUCUGAUGUUGUAGCUCAUGCUUCCAAAAUUAAUCUUUGAAAUGACUUAAAAUCAUGGAACAUAACUCGGAGCAAUUUCAUUUAUAAUCUAAUCAACUGCAGAAAAAAGGAUAAUGCAUUCUAAUGUACAACGAGUUCUUCAAACUUGGUACAAGAAUGCAAUUUGAUGAAUUAAAUGAUAUAAUAGAAGCAAGGAAUUAUGCAGUACUUAGGCAUGCAAAACACGAUGAUAUGAUCAAUAUGUGCAUGUCGAAAUGCCAGAAAUGACUUAUCAGACUGCCCUAAAGAUUAUUCAGGAGCUUAACAGAAACACUGUGCACUAGGCUUUCUGGAAACUGCUGACUACAUAGGGAUCCUAAAUUAAAGAAUGAAACAUGCACAUGAAGUACAUCCUAAUGGAACAGGUCAUGUAUGAGUUAAAAGAUGGUUUCUCUCAUAAGAGGUGGAUGAAGGUAAUUUAAAAAUGGGGGAUCUUAUAUACCACCUAUGGAUGAUGGAGAUAAUUUAAUAACACGAUGAUAUUUUGUGACUUUUAAAGGCUCACAAGGAAAAGUAAACUACCACAGAAUGGGCAAGUAAUUUCUUCAACACCACAUAUAUACCCUGAUCUCGAAAUCCAGACUAUAAAAGUGAAAGUACUAGAGAGAGUGAGAAAGCAUAGCUUCCUCUUGUGCCAAUAUAAUGUAUUAAUAGCAUAUCAGAUUUUCAUAACAUAAUUCUUCUAUGCCAUCCUUAAAAGUUGUAGAAAAAUAUAAUAAUGCAAUGAUCACUCUUUAGAAUUUUCAAAUCCUCAACACAUCAGAUAUCCAUCUCCCAAAACUGUCUGUUGGAUCGAAGAGAUAGAACCCAAUCUAUCGAAGAUAAAGCAGAGAAGAAACUCUCCCAAGAAGAGAACCGGAUCGCGUAUUUUAAUUCUCCACACCCUUCCUUGAAGAAUCCAAUAAAAGAACCACGUAUCUCAAGUCCAAGAUGCCGCCUUUUUCUGAAUCCAAAUCAAAUUUCUACCACUAAUUCGCAUCAUAUGUAGCAUAAUUCAGUCGGGAUCAUCAAACAAAACCAAUAAUCUACACAAAAUUCCAAAAACCCACAGCAGAUCCAAACAGUAAAUAUGGCGAAGAAAUUAAAGAAGAUAAAACAUCCAAUUCUACAUCUAAUCAACAUAAAAUUAAAUCAAACAAACACUUCGAUUAGCCGAAAGCAGGAAUCGAAGGAUUUAAUACCCAAAUUAGAAUUAUCACAUGCAACAACAUCUGGGAUCUGAAAGAGAAAGAAUACACAGUAUCUGAUCCAGAAGAGAUACGACGAUUGGGCACGAGAAUUAAUUGAUUUAUGGAAAAAUCGAAAAAGGACCAGUAGAUGGAAUUGAUGGAGAAUUUUAUGAUAAGGUGAUCAGUACCUAAGAAGAAGCGACGUCGGAGAUUGAUGGAUGCGGAAGAAAGGCGGUGUGAAUGGGAGAAGGAAAGGGGGAACAGAGAGAGAGAAUGGUGGCAAAAGGGGCGAUACUUAAAGCGAAAUGAUGAUUGCUUUGUUUCGCCCCGCCUUCCGUCCUUCCAUUUUUUCGCCUUUCCAUAAUUUCUUUUUUUCUUAAGAUUUUACUAUAACGGCUCCAACAAAAGAAAAAGAAAGAAAAAAAAAACGAAAAAUAAGAGUAAAAAAAAAAAAAAAGAAGGAGUCGAGAAGGGAGGAAAAGAUCCGGUCAGCGUCGGACCCACACAGACCGACCGUUGGAUUAGACUCCUCGGGAAGGACGUGAUCGGGGAAUUGGCUCAUGGUUUAAAAGUAACUGCCGUUAUAACGGCUUCUGAAAGGGGCCCGUUUUUUCCUUUCCAUUUUUUUUCCUCCUUAUGAUUGUUCCAAAGGAGCCUUUUUAUAUCCUACUUCUUUGAGUCUUUUUACAACUUCUUUUAGAGUCAGACAAGGCAGUGUAUAUACAUUGCAUGGAUAGCAAGGCUGCAAAAAGCUCGCAAGAAAAGCUGAGCAUAUGAGAAAUUUUUUUUUCUUUAAUGGCCAAAAAUUGAUUUUUUGCAAUGGCCAAAGGUGUUUUCGAUCUUAGAUGAAGGCCAUGUAAAGCUGAUCUAAAAAAAAAUUCUUGUUAUCUACGGUAAGUAGUAAGAUAAUAAUAAAUAUUAACUACCAUAUGAUCAUUUUUCCUAAAACACCAAUCAUUGUAUAAUAAGAAUAAUAAUGUGUAUGAUUUUUUAAUAGUUGCAAUAUUUAUCAAAUAAAACAAUAGUAUAAAUAUGUAUUUUCCUGCCAGCUAAAAUGUUUUUUGUCAAUAAUUAUAGAAAUAUAUUUUUGGUUGAUAAUGACUUGCACAAGUAAUAGCAUUAUGUGUUUAUAAUUGUUCUUUAUUUCUCACAAUAUGAAAUGAUAACAAUCGUCAUCAUUAUUAUCAUUUAAAUAAAAACAAUUUCAAUGUUGAUAAUUUGGAUAUAUCAUGGAUUGUUUUUAUAGUCAUUAUUGUAAACUAGGCAAGCCAUGGGCAUCACAUUCCUUCCUUAAUUUGAAAAGGAUUCUCUAUUUUUGUUUAAGUUUUUAAUGGUUAAUCAACUUCUCUUAUAGAUUAUAAUUACUACCAUGAAUCAAACAAAUCUAAGGCUAGCAAAUAACGACCUGACCCAUCAAUCGGACCCAUUUAUGACUUGCCAUAAAUGGGUUUACUUUUGGGCUAAAUAGGUUCACAUCGUAAAUAAGUCGACCUAUUUUGACCUGCUUAUUAAACAAGCCAGAUUCAGGUUCCAAGAUGAUAACUCGUUUAUUUUACCUAUCUAAAUUAUGUAAUGGACUGAAUUGGUACCCAGCCGGAAUCCAAUUUCUUUGAUCCUGACCUGCUUAUAGCCUCAUAUUUAAGUUAGAACUUGGUUUUUGGAGAGUUAUUUCAAGUUCCAUCUUCAGUUUCGAGGGUUAGGAGCAAGAAGAGCAUCUUCUGGCCCUCCCCAGCUCUCCAUCGCUAUGUGGUGCUGUCCAGCUCUUCCCUGCUUAAAAAUGCUAGCUCGUCCCCAUCUUUUUGCUCCAAGCCCCUCCUCAUUCUCUAACCCUAUACCCAAACCCUAGAGUCCAAGUAUGGUUCUUCUUUAAUACAAAGCAUUGGUUGGUUAGAUCUUUCUAUCUUUAUGCAUUUUCUUUUUCUUUGAGCUGUAAUUGAACUUACAAAUUGUCUAAUUUUUUCUUUACUUAAUGGAAUCUACCGAGUGGCGUUGAUUUUUUUUUUCUUUUCCUAGUUUGUGGGCAUUAUUGUAUCUCUUUUCUUGAUGUACAACACUUGAUUGUUAGCUUUCUAAGUGAAUAUAGGUUAAAUAGAUUAUACAUGUUCAAUGCUCAGACCUGAUAUAUUUAUCAAACAAGUUAAGCAGAUCAGAUUAGAAUACCUAUUUAUUAAACAUGACAUGUUGAAUUUUCAAAUUUUGAUCUUUUAUAAAUAGAUCAGAUUCUAAUCUAAUCCACAUCUGACUUGAUCUAUAUACGACCCAACUCAACAUGAUUGCCAUCUUUAGGCAAAUCCCAAAUGUCAUAUGUCACACUCUUUUUCUCUGAAGAAGGCUCUUUUUGAUUUUUUGAUGGUACAUCUUUAAAUAUUAGCUCCAGAUAACUUGCAUGGAGAAGCUUUCAACACAACCCUGAAAAAACAACAGUUAUUAUAAUUGUCACUGUAACUGGUGGAAAAUGAUUUUAGUACGAAAUCACUAUAAUAUGAAAACGGCAUUGCUAAAACCUUGCGCUUACUCUCGAGCCACCCCCCCCCCCUCCCCUCUUCUAUUACGGUGUGCUAAAGUUAAAAUGGAAAGUUGACUGUUAGGAGUGAACAGCUCUUUGACUUCCAUUAGACGCAUCUAAUUGCACUCUGUUGCUUGUAAACUCAUCCUCUUAUCUAAUAGACUCAUCUUUCUCCUGGUCCAGGAUCUUUUUAAAUGAAAACAAGUAAGACUUUAGUUCAUGAUGAAAAAGACUUUAGUUCUUAUAUAUUGCAUAAACUCUUGAGCAUGUGUAAGAGGGCCGCGGGCAAGUUAUUUUGAUGUUAGAUUGAGAGCAUGAUUUCCAGCAAAAGUUGAUAUGGCUGGCGAGGAGACAUUUGGUCCCUUCAUGAUCGACAUCAAGCUGUUCAUAGUCUUACUUACAAGUUCUUGAAAAGGCGUCGUUUGAUCACGCUUUUAACUUAUCUCUCAAUCUUCCAAGCUUACUUAGCCUGGGAGACCAUUGGAAGUGUGAGACAGGCCCUCAUCCAAUUGCAGAAACCAAGUUUUCCUUCUUCUAAUUCGUCUCAGUGGCUGAUCAUUUACUUCAGAAUAUUUUGUUUAACCUAGAGUUUCAGUAUGCUAACCUCUACAAUAAUGCUGAUCUCCAAUCUUGCACAGUGUCAUAAUAUUUUUCUGUCGGGAUGUAGGUUUUUGCUUGAUACCUGCAUUGCACAUGUAGAACUCUAGAACAACUCUAGGCUAAAGGCAUCCCUAAGAAUAUUUAUUCCAUAAGAAUAGUUAAUCUGCAAAUUAUUCAUACUUCUGUUUGAUUACAAUUUCUAGAACAACUCUUGGCUAAAGGCAUCCUUUUUCCAUCAAGAAAAAACGAGACAGCAAUUAAAAGGGGUCCUAUUCUUAUAUAUAUAUAUAUAUAUGUUAUUCCAAGUAUCCAUUAAGAUAUUCAUUUCAUAAAUAAAUAUUCUAAGUUUUUUCGUCUGAUAGAAUGAAUAAAGCUUCAAUUUCAAGUCUUAUUCCUGCUUGAUGGAACUAAACACAGCCUUGCUGUCUAUGAUUGAAGUGCUAAAUUUAUCCUACUUCUAAGAAACAUAGGAUAGUAAGAGAGCAGCUAAAUCUAAUCUUUUUGUUCUUAAAAGUCUGAAGCAAGGAGUACAAUGCCCGUUGGGAAGAAGAGACAUCACGCUCGGAGGCUGGCCACCUUACAUGAAGAACAUACUGGCACCAACUUUAUGGGCGAGUGAUCCCUCUGAUUGGCACUCACAAUAUGGAGCUCAAAACAUGCCAUGUGACCAGAUGCCACAUGUAAGAAUGGUCUUGUGAUGUCUCAUGUCCAUGGCCCCAGUGCCUAAUAUGAUAAAAAAAAACAAAGUCAUGUCAAUAUCAUGACUUCGUCCAGAAAACAUGGAGAUGUAGGGCUCAACUGCAAACUGAUGAUGCUGACUUAUAGAGCAAUGUCUAUUUUUCAUAGACAAACUCAAGAGUUGAUAACUGAAGGAUAGAGAAGAAUUGUAGAGUAUCAUCAGAGAUUGGGGGAAGGGAAGACUCUUUAAUUUUCAUUUCCAUUUUCUUUAACACCAAAAGAAAAACAAACAACAAACAGAAAACAACAUAAUUAUGAUGUUCAUAAAAAAUAUUACGAUCAUUAUAGGAUAGUGAUAGUAAUGGCAAUAGUACCAAUAACAAUAACAACUAAUAAUGAUGACAAGGAUACGACGAAAGAGAGAGAGGGAGGGAGGGAACAAAACCAAGUCAAAAGUCUCAAGUUUUCACUUGUUGAUAAAAAAAUAAGUCAAACACAUCAAAAUAAACUCAAGCAUAUAAUAACUCAGUAGAAAAGAAACCAAAAUUAAUAUUCAGUACAAAACCUGUUCAUUUUAAAUGGAAAAAUUCAAAUUAAUGUUAUUGAUUUUAUUUUCCAUAAGACCACCUCGACAUCCAUUUGGCUUUCCAAGCAACUACAUUCAGCCAUUCGAGCCAUUUUCAUUAUUUGCACUAAAUAAUGCAUAUAAGCAUAGUUUAUCCAAAGAUGUCAGACAGCUCAUACACAACAUUCAGCCAGCAAUCAUCUACCUCACUACAUGUAUAACUCAACAUACUGUCAUGAGAGAAAACCUUUUGGAUUUUAUUAGAAAGGACAUCAUCUUUCAUUUAUUUUAAUACAAAAUACACAACCUAGUUUCACGUCCCUCCAGAAUUCAUCCUUCCAGCUUGUUCAGAUUCAGCAUGCACAUAUUCAUCCCUAAACACCACCAUGCCAUCAAAAAGCAUUAAAGAAAAGGAAAAGAUAAAGGAGUCACAAAAUUUGAAUGAAGAAAAGUCACAGGUAGGACAUCACCGCCAGGUUAUCCUUUAGUAUACAGGUGAUGAUGCCAGGCUUGUCUUGACACUCAAGAAAAUGAUGAUAUUAUACCAGAUCAAAACCAAGGAUAGUGUCCUUGGCCAAGAUCAGGAGCAACUGGAAAUAUAUCAAAACCCACUUUCGGGUUACCUCUUGGUGAACAUAAUCCAGAAAAAUGUCCUUGAAAAACCCAUAUAACUGCCAGUAUAUUGAGAAAAUCAGUAAGGAAGUAGUCACUGUAGAUUUUGACACGAGAAGCAGCGCUGGUAUGAGAGUGUAGGUUAUUUUUUGGGAAAGCUCCAUUCUCUUAAUCUUCGAGCUUUCAUUCCCCAAUCCACUUUUUCGUUCUUUUAAAUGACUCCCCUCCAAAUUCCAAUGGGCUAAAAGCAAUAAUCUUCGAGCAAUCUCCUUCCUUUCCAUUACAUGUGGUCUGCAAAAGCUUUUCAUAAAACAUUGUUCUGACCAAAUCAAUAAAAACUUGAAGAUAAAAGCCAAAGUCAGAAACUGAAAUUCAGUAUCAAUCAAAACUACAAAUGAGGGGCUGGUGGAAUUGCCUACAUUCUUUUCAGCUGAAUUACAAAGCUGAGAAAUGAUCUUGUUGGACAGAUGUGUCACAGUUCCACCAUGUGCCAUCCCAGAAAACCAACGAGGCAAUCCUUGUGUACCAGCAUGAACCAAUUUGAUCGGGUGGCUCUUGGGGAUUUGUUCAUACACCCAAAUCUGCAUAUAGAGUGAACUCCAUGAAACACUGAUGCACAAAACAAAAAAAAGUAAUGGAAGUGAAAUUUAAUUGAGCAAAAUUAUUGCCUCCAGGGUAACAUCAAAGGCACAUUUAUCAAUGUCAUUCGAAGCUUGCCCCUAUCUUAUCAACUUUAUGGACAUAAUUGUGGAGGGUGGUGCAUCUUUUACUCGGACACUUUGCUAGACGAUGAUCUGGCAGACUCCCUCAGAAAGGUUGACGAAAACCAGUCUUUAUACAAAAAAUAUCUUAGCUUUUGCAUCUUUCUGACCCACUUGAUUUAAGGCUCUUAUCUUCCACUCAUUCUUUUCCAACAAUAUAACAUUAAAAAGAUACUGGUUCUAUAAGAUGAGGUUGUUGAUAUAAGCAUUUGAAUUGUUGACUUCAAGGGCAUUAUAACUUUUAUUGCAGUGGCAAUUACAAAACUUUCAUAAGACAGAACAACAAAUAACAGAAGUUAAAUUUAACUGAGCUAACUGUGCCGAGAGUAGUAUCAUAGGCAGACCUAUUACAUGAUUUUAGCAGCCAGGCUCUAUCUUUCUUAAGCUUCAGGACAUAAUUAUGAAGGGUGGUAUAUCUUUCAACUCACACACUUUGGUGAGGCAAUAAUUUGGCAAACUUAUAGGGGAACCUUCUUUUUGGUAGGGAGGAAAAACUUAGCUUUCUCAUCUCUUCGGCCCGCUCGAGUUAUGGCAAUUAUCUUCCUCUCAUUCUUUUUCCCACAAUAUAUCACAAAAAAGUCAAUCGUUCCUGCAGAUGAAAUUGUUGAUUUAACAUUUAAUUAGUUGACUUCAACUGCAUUGUGACUGUUGUUGGAGCAGCAUUUAUGCUGCCAUUUUGCAGGAAGUUUAGAAAGAAACGGAGGACAUGUGUUUUUCCACAAUGUUAUUUCAAGUUCAUGGCCUAUCAAGAUGAAUCAAAGCCUCAUGGCAAUGCACCUGAGCAUGUAUAAGACGAAACUGUUGGAUUUUCACAUCAUUGGGCAUAUGCAUGCACAGGCAUGUUCACUUCUUGCAAACAAGAUAUACAAAUUUAGCAUUUAUUUAGGAGGUAUUAGCAGAUAUAACAAAUUUUGCUACAAAAUUUACAAGAUAACUCGUCUUUUUCCACAAUUGUCAUAAUAUUUCUUAUAUUUUCUGAUUUUCCCUUAUUUUUAUUGUGAAAACUAAGUUUCCAGUGUUGACCUAUUCUUUGUUGAAACUUGUUUGAAUAGAACAUAAAGAUAUGUUUAGCCAAAGGAUUGGCCAAGACAUCCUAGCAAAUUGAUGUUAAAAAUUGAGAAAGAGAUAGGAAGUAAGAAGCAUAGGAUUGCACAUUAUAGAAGAAAAAAGUAAACAGAAAGUGGGAAAAUGAGAAGCGAAGGCCUCAACUGUACAAAAUGAAGCAACAAAAUGAAAAUGUAGAGAAGAGAACAUGAAUGUGAACAAAUGAAAUAAAUGAACAAGAAACAAAGAAGAAUAUGAACAUGAAUUAUAAAGGGGAUGGAAAAGAAGAUGGGAAAGAAAAAGAGAAACUGCUGGUUAUCAUUGCAGCUGCCAACAAAUAGAAAGCAAGAAAGGAAAAGAGAAGACACAGGUGAAACAAAAGGCAGACUGCCAGUGUUGGCUGCUAGAGUUUUUGACGGAAAACAAAAAGAGAAUCAUAAUUAACCGGGAAAGGAAGACUGGGAGAGAGCACUGCUACUGGCAGUUCCAGCAGUUGCCAUAACAGAAAAGGACAAGAACAGGAACGAGGAGAGAAAAGACAAGAAAUUAUAAGAAAGAAAGGGGGAAAAGAAAAAGAGACAUUGCCAAUAGAAACAAGGAAGGUGAAGUUUGUGUUCAAGUGUGUGCAUGAGAGAGAGAGGGGGGGAGGGCAAGGGAAAGAAGAAGACUCAGUUGGAUACUCUUCUAAAAUCUAAUAUUUUCUUAACUCCUAGAAAUUACCAUUCAUUUGGGUGGGACAUCGAUCUUGACACGACUACUGUCCAGAUUAUUUGAUCAAUAUGUCUUUACAAGCAUUACAUUGUUUCUAGUUGCCCAUACAAAACAUGCUAGCUGUCCCUGACCAGACUCAAGCUCAGGUUUAACAAAUCUCCAAAAGCCAUUAGAACAACUCAAGAACUCUAUAGAAAUUAAAAUUAUUCCUAUACAAACAAAGUAUGCAGAAAAGGCAACUCUCUAGCUCUAGAACGCCAAGUGUCAGGAUCCUAGAACUUAAAGCAACUCAGCCCCAUAGUAAUGAUUCAGUCCUCUAUAAGAAAACUAGACACCAAAGAACAAUAGGAGAGUAAACUCAGUAUUGUAAGACUGCAGGACAACAAAUGAAGGUUUGCGAGGAAUUAGGACAGCAAACACAUGCUUUUAAAGAAACUAGGAGGGAAAUGUUGACAAUUAAAGGCAAAUCAAAAAAUUCAGUACAACAUUGAAACAUAUGACGUAGAGCAAUAUCUGAUCAUAAGGUCAACUCAUGCGGACUUUAUUUUUCUUUCGGCAAUAAAAAUCAUGAAUAUAGUUACAAACAGCAAGCAAACCCGUAUUACAAUAUGACUAAGAGAUAACUGGUACUAUAUUAGUAAAGUACAACUGCUGUACAGGUUUUUACAACUAAUAAUUGAAGUAAUGCAUGCGCCUAGGAUGCUUGUAAUAUGUCAGAAAUGUUUAUCCAAAUGCAUAUAAGAGUUCCAAUGAGGUUUGCAAGAACAUAAAAGGCCCAUCCAACUGCCAGAAGGCAUGUCAAAAUGACUAAGAUUCUUGUACAGCUUUUCAGGAGAUCUAUUAAGCAUCCGGCCAAGGUAUCAAGAAUUCCAUUAUCCCGUUAUAACAACCCCCCAGGGAAACCAUUAUUGACCACUAUAGAAAUAAUGAUGAUAAUGAGAAUAACAGCAAAAAUUACAAUGAUAAUUUUCGUUACAAUUAUUAUAAUGAUGAUAAGUGAUAAUGAUAUCAGCAACAACAACAACUUAACAAUGAUACUUGACAAAAUAACAGUUUGCCGAUCAUAAUAAUAUAUUUUUUCGGCUUAUGCAUCCAUAUGCCAAAGUAUGGACGCGUUGUGAUAAUUUAAUUUUCAAAACAGGGAAAAGAUUAGGUAACAUGGAAUCAGCAGAUUCUUGUGCAAUAAGUUAACAACAUUGUAGAAAGAUCAUCAAACUGAUGCUUUCAAGACUAUUUUCUCAGGCAUUUCCUAAGCAGCAGCAUCAGCCAAUCAAAAAUUUAAAGCGAGAGUCUUUUUUUCCCUUUUAAUCUUUCUCCUUUCCACUUCUCAAACCCUAAAGUUUUCAACUUUUACAUCAGGAAUUAAACAGAAACAACUAAAGCACACAGCAGAUCAAAAACCACCAAGUCCGAAGCCCAUAGAGGAGAAGAGGCGAACGACGAGGACAGAGGAGAAGGCGAACCUUUCUGGAGCCAACGAGGGCGUUGUGCGGUAGAGAGCCGGCCGAAUCCAGCACGGGUACAGCGGAUCUGGAAUCGUGCAGCGGGUGGAGGAGUGGCGGGGAGGCGAGUGUAGAACUCGGAGGCAUAGGGAGGAGGAGGAGGGAAUGGCAGUGUCAAUCAGGAAGAAGGAGGGGUGGAAGAGGCGGGCUAUGCUUAGGGUUUUGGAUCGGGUCAGGAAACGGGCAGCCAUGGCCGUCGCCUCUCUCGGCGUCCACACUAAGGUGGUGGGGUGGGCGACGAUGUCGCGACGGGGACAAAUAGAACGCCUUCAGUUCACGCUUUUUUUUCAUAACGGGCUUCAAGCCAUUUGCUGCUUAACCCGAAGGCCUCAUGGAGUCGGACUAUUUAAAUCUAAACAGGGUCUUCGCAGUAUCUAUGAGCCUCGGAGAGGUGCUUCUGCUUACUCAGAAUAGAUAGGAUACCAAUAUUUACUUUUAUUUUUCAAAAGUUCCAGAAGAAACAGGAGAUUAAAAGAAACAUAAAUUAUAUCUAGCACUAAAGAAUUUAAUAAAUAAUGCAACCGGCUGUGCUAAUGCAAGAGCAAUUUGAGCAGCAGAUUUAUAAAAUAGUAAAUUGAAGAAGUUAUUACAUAAAAAAAAUAAACCAAUUUAACAAAAAUAAAAUCACCAAUAAUCCGAACAUUCCUGGUAUAAAAAAACGGAAAAAAAAUUAUCACUAAGGGAAAUAAGUGGCAAGUUGUAUGUCACGAUGCUUCAUUUUGGAUGAUUGAAGCUAUGUCUCAUUCCUUCCCUGAUUUAUUACAACACCUGGAUGUUUGCCUCUUUCUUUAAUAUUAUUGCACAUGGUUGUACAUGACGUUUUAAAAAUGACUUUAUGUCUCAGAUGGUGUACUUUAUCUGGAAGCCCUUACCUUCCAGUUUUCUCAAGGUUAAUUUCAAUGGACGUGUGCUGAAUGGUGACAGAAGGAAAUGUGCUGGCUUUAUUAUUAGAGGCCCAAAUUCCAGAAUGAUUAUGGCUGGUGGUUGCCAAAUUUUCAAUAUCUCGAUCCUGGAGGUUGAGUUGAGGGCGGCAUGGGCUGAGCUAGGCUAUGUUUGGCGAGUGCUGCAGGCUAGUGCGGUACUAUUUGAGAGAGAUUCAGCCACGAUCAUUGGAUGGGUUCAGUGGACUGUUUGCGGUGCGGGUGAGUGCUAUCUCUUGAUCCUUGAUGUUGGAGCCAUGAUCUAUGGUAGAGGGCCUUCUAGACUAUGCAUGUCUCCAGAGAGACCAAUGGGGCUGUAGACUGAGUGGGCCUUAGGAAGAGUGAGCUGUCUACUGAGAUAUGCUGUAUUUUGACUUUUUUUGAUGUAUCCAUACUAGAAUUGUAUGAAUCAUCCGUUUCAAAUAAAAAAAAAAUUAAUUAGAACUAAUGUUAAUUACAAGCAUCUUACCAUCAAUGAAGUUUGCAGUACUUCUGCAAGGCACUGGAGUAGCUGGGGCGCUUUGAGUCCCCUCUAUCUCCAAGCUGCCCCCACCCCUUGAGUAUUCAAGAUCAAUUUUGAUGGGUUUGUACCUAAUUUCUAUUGCUCAAAUUGGAUUUGCAGGCAGCUAAAUAAUGGCAGGCUUGUACAUGUCAUUUCGAUUCAUUUCUCCUCCUAUUCUUUUGGCAGAGGUUCAGGACAGAUUGGAGGGUUUUGGGCAGUGCAUUCUAUGAUCAUCAUGCCUCACAUAUGGAUUGAGGGUGAUUCGAGCACCAUCAUUUAGUUAGAUCAUCAUUCUUUUGGCAGUCAUAUAAACAAUUCUCUUCUUCAGAUUUUUUGGCUGCCAAGAGUGUCAUUCAGGCAAUUCAGGCUUUUAAACCAUCUCAUAUUUAUGAAGAGAGCAAUCAACUGGCUAACUGGUUGUGUGGUAGCCAAAACAGAUGCCAUCAGUUUCGCAGCUGAAUCCGAUGGUUAUUUUUUCUUUCAAUUUGAGGCUUAGACUGCCACCGUAGCCCAAAGAAGGGGAGAAAAAUCAAGAUCUCCAGAUCAAAGGAUCAAUUAAUGGUCUACCCUUUUUUCUCUUUUGUGAGAAAACAAGAUUCCAAAGAAAGAUGAGUCCGGGUUGUCAAAGCCAGGAUCCAAAGAAAAUUAUAUCAAAAUCUGAGAAGGUCAAAUAAAAUCACAUCCAGAAAACAAAUCAAUAAAAGUAUCAGAUAUAAAAGGUGCUGCUAUGUUUUAGUUUAUUCUAUAUCCCAUAUAUGUACACUUUGCAACCUAUAGUAUCCAAGAGAAGCAUUAAAUGUAUGCUUCUAUUCAAAACGCAGACCAUUUUCUUUAAUUGCCACCCCUAGUUUAUAGGCUUCAUAAUAGCUGCAAGCCAAGAAAAUAAUCUCAUAUUAGAAUUAGAUUCUGAACUAUAAAUCAACUAAUUUUUUAUACUACAAAUUCUUUAGCCAUAUAAUUGCCACCUUUUGUGUCCGGCAGUUACUCAAUUUGACAACCACAUACAUUCUAUGUGUACAGUAUGUUGCAAACAUUAUCGAUUUGAUAACUAAAAACGGAAUAUCUAGUUUUACAUACCAAUAUCUUUGGUAAACUAAGUCAUAAUACUGUUUUUAUUAAGUUUCCUGGAUAUAUGCCAAUGCCGUGGAGUGAAUAAAAACAGAGCAAAUUAACUCCCUUGGCAGCUGCCAUGGAUAUAGAUUUUACUCCACCUACAUAUUUAUGGUAAUAUUAUGCUUAUGUGAGCUUUGUCAUUAUUCUAUAGAUCUAGCAUCACAUAUUAAUAGCCUCCAAAUAAAUAAACAAAAUUAUGAGAUGCUGUACUAUCCCAAACCGUCUGCUACAAAGUGUAUUAUAUCGGAUCGAAACUGGUAUGAAAUACAUAUUCGGGUCGGUACAUACUCUGUAUCGACCCAUAUUGAGGCAUACCAAGGCGUACUGAUACAUACUGAGGCGUGCUGACCCAUACCGAGAUAAAAAGUGAGAAAAAUAGCUAGAGAGCUAUUUGUGUACAUGGAUAUAUAUAUCGUACUAUACUGAUCCAUAUCAUACUAAAUCGGAAACAUACUGCUACGGUACCUGACAUCGAAAUUGCAGUCCUUGAACAAAACAAUCUGGUCAACCUCCAGAUUAUUCAUUGAGCAACCAAAAUCACAAAUAAUUGCUUUAAUAUUGCCUUACAAGUUGUUUUUUCACAUCUUCACCAUCUGCCCAUACUUCUAAAUAAAUAAUUUUAAAUCAAAUGGAAAAUUGAAUGGAAGGAUCUGAAGAAAGUUCUCUUCAUCAGACACCACAAUUCCCCUCAACUUCAUUUUGGAGUCUUUUCAAGAAUUAGUGUAUUCACUGCUGAAAGCUGAUCAACUAGCAUACCACUAUUGGAAUCAAGGGCAAUCCACAAAAUCUACAAUGAUGGACAGUUCAGCAUGGCUAGUCCAAGAGUUUGUGAUUUUAGCUGGUGCAGAUGAUGAGCUCCACUAAUGAAUAGGAAUUGAUGAAGGAAAAGUUCAGGGUGAGAGCACAUGGGAGCAAAUUUUCUCAAUGUUUUAAGUGCUUCAUAUAGCAGAGUCAAAAAAUCAUGUAGAAAAGAUGGAGCUCAGAGGGAGAUGCAUUUCCAUCUUUUAUUUCUAUCAAAUAACUCACAAUUGGCAUUUGCUGACAAUGUUGAUAGGAAAAAUGGGUCAAAGAGGUAGAAAGGCAAAUGAGGAACUGUAAGAAAAAUAAUGUCCCCUCGGUUAUUAUGGAGAAAAGUUGAAGUUAUGGGAUAGGAAAAAAAAGAAAGAAAACAGUGAGGAGAGGUGAUUGCUAUGUUAUUUUCAAAGGUGGGCUAGAGAGAUUCUGAAGUUUGUGCAAGAGUGAGAAGUUGGGUGGGAGAGUCAUGAGGGGUUCAUCACCACUUUUCUUCAGCCAAGCCAACGCCAUCGCAUAUCCUAAAGCUCGACCAACUGGAACAGCGACAGCAUUGCCAAUUUGGCGAUAUCUGCAAGUUCAUUACAUCGACUUCAGAACACAAGAGAAUUUCAAGACAGAUUAACAUUAGAUGGCAUGGGAAGUAAUAACAACCAACUAAUGUCUUUAAUAUCUCAUGAUACAAUUAGAAAAUCAGCAACCCAGUGAUUGAAAAUUUACUAGCGAGCAAACAUGACACAUUGCUCGAGUGAAAUCUGAGCAUAUUUACAUAAGUAGCUUUCUAACAUACUGCCACAUUUCAUAAUGAUGGCAAAGCAUGUAAAAUAACAAAAAGGUGCAAGAAAUGUCAACCACCACAGAUACAAAACAAAAAUUCAACAAAAGAAUGAUCUCUUGGGAGAAAAGCAAAAAAAGAAAAAAAGGUAAUUCCUCUGAAAAACAUUCUACAAAGAGUCCAAUAUUUAAGCAACCUUUGCAAGCCAUAGCCUAUAAAUACAAAUUUAUAAGUAGACAAAACAAAGGGUGCAACAGAGCGUACCUGAGUAUUAAGCUUCUCAGGCUAUCUGUUUAUAUAAAUAGUGUAUUCAAGCUUGAGCCAAGAUUGACAUCAGAUGUGUUUGAUGAUCUCUAAUAGUCUAAUUAUUUAAUAAUUUUCUGAAAUUUGCCUGGAAAUUUCUGACUUAGAGGCAUUUUCGGUUGGUGUUUGCUGUUUGGCAAAACACAGGAUCAAGUUGGAAAAGUUCAAUCAUUGAAGCUUCUUGGGACUCUUUCCCGUUCCUUAUUACCACAAUGAAAGAGUAAAUACAAGACCACUAGCUUUUAUACCCUGUCCAACAAGUGGAGCUUGGUUGGAUUCAUGGACCUUUAGACCAAUCAUCACAUGUGCACUCAGCUCGGCUAGCUCAUCAUGCCGUGCCAUGCACGUGCUCAAACAUGGCAGGACCGCAGGCCAGCUGGUCGGCCAUGAACGUGCAGAAUGUGUCAUGUACUCUCUGGUCAGCUUUCCAAUCUUGCAUUUGAUUUAGAUAAUCACAGAAGUCAAUGGGCCACUAGCCAUUGGAGGCCCUUUAAUUGGUUUCUCCAUGGACUAGCUGUUGGCCACAAUAGCUCUUUUCAGAUAGCAACUGUCCAGCUCUAUAACCGGCAUGUCUCUAGCUAGAUGUUGGAUCUCCUUGACUUCCAGAUGUGGGUUAUUGGAAAAUCAAAUAGUAAAGCAAUAUAUUAACUGUCUGGUUUUAAUGGUCCCAGCACCAGAGUUCCAAGAGAUAACAACGAGAAAGCUAAAAAGUAAGGUGUUGCCUUCCCAUUCCUUUGAGAAGCCUUGCCCUCUUCAAAUCCUUUUAUCCUUCCCUCCACAAUUUCCACACUACUACUCUAAUAUUUGAUCUUUCAAAUUAUUUCGACACUUUUCUCUAGGUGAUUUGAUGGAGUCAUCAGGCCAUCUAUCUCCACAUGCUCACGUUGUGCUUGGAGGCAAUCAAACAUUAUCGAGAUCAGUUGUACCUAGGGAGCAUACCUUUUGAUCACCUGCAUGAGAGGGGUAAUCUUGCUCUUAAGGGAGUGCCUGGCACACCUCCAAUUCAAGCACAUCAAAAAUGUUUUUUCAAAGUUUUAAGAAUUCUCAAUUUUUCAUUUAUUUUUCCAAAUCCAACUUUCUACCACCAACAAGAUGUUCAAGCUUCACUUCUUUCUUAACACAACAAAUUUGUCAUCAAGCUGAGCUGGAGCUUCUAUCCAUUUUUGUUGGUCCAAAUUACUCAGGCUCAGUUUGUUCAUGAGUCUUUACAUGAAAGUUUGGGUGUAGCUGGUUUUGUAAUCUAGCAAACUCAAGUAGAGCUGGUUAUGAAGCUGUGCUUAAGCUAUCUAUGAACACCUGGUUACAUUUUCAGCCCUAAAGCAACCAUUUGAAAGGCAGUCAUGUAAUUAACAAUCAAAUGACAUGAGUGCAGAGGUGAGUAAGCAGCAGCAUCAAUGACAGCAAGGGAUGGCAUUCAACAAAUUUUCCUCGGCAAUACUCAAAAGCGCAUACAUGGUACCACAAACCUCCAGAUAAAUAGUUAGAGAACUUCAUGCAUAUCAUGAUAUGUAACUGUAACCAACCUUAAGCAAGUUUUGUGCAUGUCCUCCAUUCACAGGGGCUCUCUAUUGUUUCAAUUUUAUUGGAUAUCUCUGAAGAGAACAAACAUUAGCAACCUUUGUUUGGAUUUAUAAAAGUUUUCUCUCUACAUCAACCAUGAGAAUUUGUACUGAUCUCCUGGUCAAUGCAUCUUUGGACAAGAGACAGCAUGAUAUGAAACCUAAAAUGUCAAAUUGUGGGAAUGCUUGACCAACAUUCUUGGUGAUCACAGUUUGAACCAAUGCAACCAGGAAGUGACCACCAAGGUUCUCGCAGACAUGUAUGAAGUCUGGAAAAAUGGAGAUUAAAGACAAGAAAGGCUUGUCCAGAAAACUACUUUCCUCUUUAGGGGCACAAAUUUAAGCCAAACGGAAACAUAAUCCCCGUAUUCUAUGGAAAGUAUCCGAUUUAGAUAUAUAGAGCUCAUAGUUUCAGAUAUUUAAAGCUUAUAGUUUAUAUCCAUAAUUCAUGAACAAGCCUUCUCUAUGAGUCAGUUUUACAAAUCUUUCUUAUCCACCAAUGCUCUCUAGCAUUUGAAAGCAUGGUUGCAUAAGAAUGCAAUUUUAUCACAACAACAAUACAGAAUCUACAUCGCUAACCUUGCCUGUUCAUGUUGCAUCUCCACCUCCCUCACUAGCCCCAUGUAUUGCACACAGACCAAUCCCCUAUUCUCUAUGAUGAAUGAUUGUAGGAAUUGAUAUGUAGCCUCCCGCUUUCUCAUAUUCACUCAUAUUUUAAAAAAGAAAUUAAUGCAAGGGAAUACAUGAAAAAAGAAAGCAAGCGCAUGCUAAUUAGAUUCAGAUAAAAGCCUCAUUUGCAAUUUCAACAUGCCCAAAUUUUAUCAAAAUAUAAAAGGCUAAAGUGCAUAGGUUGGCUUUUACACCACUCACUUGCCGCAGUUGAGUGGCAAGUCUCCUAUCCACAUGCUAGUUGGAAUUAAUAAAAUGCACACCCAUUUUGUGAGCAAUACUCCUAUUUCUCUUUCACGUUUUAUCUAAUUUCACAUAUUAUUGCUCUAAGUUUAGUUAUGCAUAUGUUAAAUGAAACAUCAUGUGAUUUGCAGGUGCAUGUCUACAAAGAAUGUUCCAAUAUCCAAAGUGAACCUAAUGCCCGCAGGCCCUGCACUACCAUAUUUUAUAUGAUGAACUUCCUUUUUUUGCAUUUUCUCAAGCUUUAGAGAGAGUAGGAUAUGUAUCUGAUUAAACAGAGUCUAUAAACUUUCUAUCACUAUGAAAGAAAAGCAUCAAUGUCGUCCAUGUAUCUAAGAUUAAUCUUUCAUAGAUCAUACACUAACUCAAAGCUAGAUAUGCAACCUUGAAUUAACCUACUACGCUACAUCACAUGGUCAUAAAAAGAAACAAAAGUUAAAGGGAAAAUUGAUGUAAUUGUUUCAGAGAAUAAUUGAACAUGAGUGGUUACCGUUUCUCAAGAUGGCUUGUAGUUCCUAAAUGUUAACUGAACCAUUAGUUUGAUUAACUUGAACAACUACUCUAGCAGAAAUGCUCAAACAAUUUAGCAAGAUAAGGGAAGCAAAAGUUGAUUUAAAAUUAAAAAACAUGAAUAGUUUGAUUUUUGAAAAUCAUUAUAAGUAUGCAUCCUAAGGAUGACUAAAUAUUUAUGAGUAUUCCUUCUUUUUUUUUUUGGCCAAGCCACAAAUAGUGUCAUUUCAUUUUUUUUUGCAACCUUUCAGUUCUAAAAGUUAAGCCACAACAUUCCAGCUUACACCUUGGACGAAAGAGUAAAAUAUAUUUUUCCUAAAGCAACAUUUGCAGGAUUGAGCUUCCCAUUUAAUUAUUAGAGAACAUUUGGGGGAAAAAAGUGAAUUACCUAGACCACAAAAUAUGAAGAUUUAUCCCAACUAUUAAGGCUAGUUUUAUGAAUUCCUGCUCCAUUGAUAAUUAUAAACUCAUAAUUUCCAUCCUUUUCCAACAGAGGUUCUUCCUUCUUCCUAAACUCAUCCACAUACAUCAAGCGCUUCAACAUAAGAUAUCAUCCUCAUUCAUCAUUAGACAUGCUCGUACCAUCUGAAUUGGUACUCUUCCACUUUGUCAUCAGCCAGCCUUUUUUGAUUACAAUUUCAAACCUAAAAUUUCUCAUUUCUACCAUGUCUUCUUUGUUUGGACUCUCUUUAUUGCCCAACAUUCUGAACCAUAGAAUGUUUUUCAGAAAAUUUUCUCUUUAGCUUCCAGUGCAUGAGAAAUCACAUUAAACCAAGGGAAUACCAUUCAUUCAAAAGCCAUUCAUUCAAAAGGGGACAAACUUUGACAGAAAAGUAUGAAAAAAUGGGGAAAAUCUUUAAAUUUUGUGUCAAUAUUUGAAAAAAAAAUUGGAAAAAAAUAAUUUUCAAUCCCCCAAUAGAUACCUUUUAAUAGUGACAGGGCCGCUGUCCAAUCUAAACACAUCCUACUCACCCAUCUCACUACAAACAAGUUUCUCCUAGUCAAAGUACUUAAUCAAGCUCAACUAAGAACAGCUUAACUCAUUUUAUCACCUAAGAAAAUCCACAUAAACAAUAAAUCCCUGUGUGGGUGGACUCAAGGCAAACUAAACUAAAAGAACAAAGAAGAUUUCUUAUCCAAUUGAAAAAUCAUCCCGUAAAGUGACCUCCAUCACCAUGGCUCUAAAAUGAAGCAACAAGUUUGCCAACAGCAUGUUAAGCAAACCAUCUCAAUGUUGUGUCACUGGAGGGAGUCAUGCCCAACACUCACAUGGAAAACAAAAGGGUAAUUUAUUUUAAAAAAGGCAGGAAGAAGAAGAGGAAAAAACAGAUAAUAGUACCUUUCCCUCACUGUCCCACAGAAUCUAUAGUAAUCAGGAAAGCCUUGCAACCUUGCACAUUCUCGAACAGUGAGAACUCGAUCUUGCUCAGGGUGUAAUAUAGCCUAAAAAAUUGAGGGUUCUAAGUCUGGGAUUCUUAGAGUUAAGAUCAAAAAAUUAUGCAGAUUAAAGUCCAGUAACAGACAUUACCUGGCUGUGAGCAUCAGGUAUGGUCAGAACAGUUGGCACUAUCUCAUCCCACCAUAAUCGAGCAAAAGGUCUACAAUAUAUUACAUUAGAAUCUAGCAAACAACAUCUUAAAAAAAAUGAUCAAGAAUACUUCAAAUGCAAAUCAUUCAUUGAAAAUGUAAACUAACCUUAAUGACUUUCCAUUCCAAUAGUUCAUGGCAUAAUCUGGAACCUGUGCAAAGAAAAUAGAAACAACAAUUUUAUAGAUAAUAUUGAUUAAUACAACUACUCUAGGAGUCAACUUGAUUGUACAUAACCACAUCCUCUAACAUGCACUGUACAUGCAUGUAAGUAAAACAUGCUUACCAGUGGCUUUCCAGAUGGUAAUAGUAUCCGUUCCACUAUUGGGUCAAACUGAACGGUAUUGUCACAGCCAAUAAUGAUGCCAGGGAGGUCCCUAAAAUUUGCCCCCUAUGGUAUUACAAAAUUAUUUAGAAUAUCUUAUCAAAUUUUUUAAUUUUUUGAAUAGUAAAUGGACCCUGAAUUCAUUAAAGCAACCUUUUGCCGUGGAAUUUGACAAACUCGUAAGUAAUCAUCCUCGCUUAGAGGGAGAGGGCGAUGAUCAUACAACAUACAUCGAGAAUUUUUUAUACCAUUAGCUGUCAAUCCUGAUGUCUCUGCAAAUGUUGAAGAAAGGCAAUAUUUCAAUAAGGAACAUUGACAAAAAAAAUAUAACUUUUUGAUAGACAUGAAUAUACAUAUCUAUCCAAAUAGGUGGUGAAAAGAAAACCAGGGAAAGCAGGCCAAAGCUAAAAGCUAGAAUUCAUUGCAUGAGCAUUUAGCAAUUCAUGAGGAAUCAAUUCACACAUACAUACAUAUUUACAUACACACACACAUACAUACAUACAUACAUACAUUGCAUACAUACAUACAUACAUACAUAUAUAUAUAUAUAUAUGUAUGUAUGUAUGUAUGUAUGUGUGUGUGUGUGUAUGUAAAUAUGUAUGUAUGGAGAGAGAGAGAGAGAGAGCAUAACUUGACAAUAGAAAUUAGGUUCAGCUAACUUUUUCGGGAUAAUACGCAUGUCAUAAUUAUAACACUAAAAUAUGUAGACAUCUACUGACAAUGGUUGGCAGGAUUUUUUGGUUCAUUUUGAUCUUUUCCAUGUCAACUUUAAUUGUGUGACAAUUUAUUUGUAAAACUCUAGUUGAUCGUUAUCUUUAAUAACCAUCAAGUCCUAUAAGGAUUAAAUUUAGACAAAAACUUAUGGAAGAUUCUGAGUGAACUAAAUACCUCAUUAGACAAUACAGCCGAUAUGUAUAAGGAUCUGAACAACUCAAUAUGCGGCUUCUUAAUAGACAGUUGUUAAUAAUAUUAGCAUUCCUUGUUCCAUCUAUUUUUUUAAUACCUACCUGGUACCCAAUCUUUAGGUUAUUACACAAAAUAAAAGAAUACCAGAGCCUAAAGGCCUAUGAAUGAAACAUGUACAAUCUAGGAACAUCUAGUAGCAAGCUAGAAGUAGGUGCAAUUAUAAAAACAAAGAAAAUUUGCAGUUAGCUGGUCCAAGACAGUCCUCUAAUUAUAACAGUUAUUGAAUUUUAAAAUAAGUCAUUUCCAUCUUGGGGAAAAAAUAAUAAGAUCCUGGUUAAAGAUGAGAAGAACAUGGUUUGAACUUUGAAAUGUCAAGCUGCUCAGCACAAAAUGCUUGGUUCAUGCCAAACCAACAAGGUGGCUGCACAACUACCCCAAGAAACUUCAUUAAGCCUAUAUCAUUUUGCAUUCAACCUUGACAAACUUACUUUUGACAUUCAACAUUAUAAUGUAUGUUUUUUUACUAAUGAUGUGGUUUUAAUUGAUGAUAAGACGACAAUACUUAAUUGGAUUUACAAGGAAAGCAUCAGAAGAUAGAGGCUUAAGAAUCAAUAGAACAAAAAAAGUAUACGUUAUGCAACUUUAGUGAAGAAUAGAAUUGAGAUGAGGCUGCGAUUAAGAUUGAUGGACUAGAGAUACCAUAGAGCUAUUGGUUUCACUAUUUAGAAUCUAUUAUACAAAAUAAUGGAGAGACAAAUGAGGACAUAUCUAGACUCUAGAGCAAGGUGGAUGAAGUGAAAUGCUUUUGAACUAUCAUGUAACCAACACAUAUCUUGGCAAUUCAAGAGAACUUCAAAGACUGGAAUAAGAAAUGUAAAGUUGUACAAUGUUUGGAAAUGAAGAUUGUCCCAGAGAACAAGUUGAAUUUGGCAAAAAUGAGGAUGUUGAUAUGGAAGUCAAGUUUAGAAAUAGAGUGAUGAAUAUAUAUACUAGAGGAGUUGUAAAAGAUGUAGCGAUUAAGGAUUAAAUGAUGAAGAACUAAGCAAGAAUGUAUGCAUGUACAUCAAAAGUUUGAUUGGACUUUAAUAAGGACAUGUUUUAGUCUUUGCGGAAGGAGUCAGGAAGAGCAGGGGAAAUCCUAAAGUAGAACAGAUGAAAGUUGUGAAAAAGGAUAUUAACAAGGUACUCCGUCCUGAUACUGGUGCCACCUUGUCACUGUGUCGAUACGCCCGGUACAGUGGCUGGUUCAGUGUACCAAGUAUCAGUACACCUCCUGUACCAUAUAUCGAUACCGAAUCGGUAUGGUACGUUCCGUACUGUCCAGUUCGGUAUGGUAUGGCAUACCAUAGAUAUCAAAAAGCUCGAAAUAACAUUAGAGGUAGUCCUAAAUAAGAUGUGAAUUAUGAUUCAUAAAGCUGACCUAUGUAGUUGGGAGUUGGGACAAAGUCUGAUGGUCAUAGUAUGUUUUAAGUAAAUUCCAACUUGGAAAGUCUACCAUUGCAUUAACUUAAGAAGAAGAUAGAGUUCAAAAAAUACAAUAAAGCAAUAAUAUGGUAUGAAUAUCUAAUCAAGUCCAAGUAUUAAUUACAUUUUUCAUUUCUGACAAUAAUAACAUACCAAACUUUGGUGACCGAAUAUAUCUUUGGAAUUCUGUUUGAGGACCUUUUCCAUAUUGCAUCUGAUCAUGGACUUCCUUAUUUGUCACCUAAGAUAAAGAGUCAUAUGGAUUAGACUUGUUUGUUAGAGACCAUCCAGAAUUAAAGACCUUUUCCGUAUUACAAGUUUGGCUUACUGCUGGAAGAUCAGAAAGAACAUCUUCCAGAACAAGGGCUUUCUCCAAUGCUCGUGGUUGAUCUUCAUCAUACCCAACAACAUUACGCUGUAAUGGAAGGUAGUAUUGAAAUUAGCACAUGAAAUUAUGGCUGUCCCAAAACCUAGCAGGAAUAAUCAAUAAAAGAGAUCUAAAACAUGUUUAAGAACCACUCAUAUCAUUAAAAUAAUAAUAAGUGCUAACUUGCAUCCUUUAAAGCUCCUACAAUCAAUCAUGCUAAUAGGCAAGCAAAAUUGCAAAAAAAAACAGCUCAAAUUCUACUAUUCUAACCAUUGUCUCAGCAAUAUCUUUCAAAAAUGCUCUUUAACCUAACAAAAUAUACCAAAAGCAAAAGCAAAACUCAGGAACAAAAAGUUUCAGAGCUGAAGUGGCAAUUGUUGGUGCAAAUACAAUUGAAAUAACAAUCCAUUAACAAAACCAAAAUAGCAAAGCACCACACAAGCGAGAAUACACUUAUCUAUGGUAUGCUUGGACAUAAUAUUUAUGAAUAUGGAAUAUAUACAUCUCAUCAUGCUGUGCUGUGCCGUGCUGUACUGGGCGGUAGACUCAUAUGGAACCUAGGUGGUAGGCAACUGAAAUGGAAACACAUGUCUGUUUGGUCCUAUGGGAGAAACAGCCUUGAACCAGUCUGCAUUUCCCAGGUCUGCAGUAUGGAUCAGAUCUGACUGGCACUUGCCAGUUCUUGGGCACUAUUGGUUAGGGUCGUUAGAAAAGGAUCUUCUAACCCUUUUUCUCUCCAUUCUUGGGUUGAAAAGUGUAGAAGAAAUGAGAAGAGAGAGAUAGAGUGAUUCGGGAGAGCUUCUUCACCAAGUUCUAGCCCCAUCUCAGGAUCUUUCAAGCUAGGAGCAUCCCCAAGGAAGGUAGAAUCUCCUUCCUUCUUUUUUCUGUUUUCUAUUCCAAAAAUGGCAAAAAAUGAAAAACAAGGGAAAAACAUGCCAAAUUUUGUAUUUUCACAUGAUUUCACGAUAUGUUGUACUGCUAGUAGGACUACAUGAUGGGACAUAUAUUUUUAUUUUUCACUUCAUUAUUAUUUUUUAGAAUAUUAUCAAAUGAAUAAUUUCUAAAAAAUGCUAGCAGUUUUUUUUUUUUUGGGGGGGGGGAGGCGGGGAGGUAUUAAUUUUGGGCAUCUUCAAGGCCAUCGGAACUCAUGCCCAAAACCAAAAAAAAAUGUAAAAUAACCUUGUAAAAAUACCUUCUUCUAAGUUGAAGGUAGUUGCAAUAGUCCUAGUUAAAAUUAAACAUUUGAAUUUUUUAAUUUAGAAUAUUUCUUAAAUAGAAAAAUAAGUUUAAAUAAUUAAAUAUCUUAAAAAUGAAAAAUUAGUAGUGUGAAAACAUAAUUGGACAUAUUUUUUAGUGCAAUUAGCAUAUCUUUGAUGGUUGUAUAAAUUGUCAUAAGUAUUUAGUGAUUUAUAAUUAAAUACAUUAAUUAAACUAAGAGAUACAUAAUUUUUUUCAAAUUAUUAUAGAAAAUAAUAAUGUUUUAUGUAACUUGAAGUCACAAAUAAAGCUAAGGUUGUGCGUCAUUAGUUUUUAUAAAAAUCCGUGCUUCAUUAUUGUAAUGGACCUUAAAAUUCAUACCCGCAUAAGUAGUCCUCCAAAGCCCUGGUUUCCUCAUAGAAGUGCAGGAUUUUCCCACUUCAUCAAGCUACGAUGGCCACGUUAGUAUCAGACAACAUAUCAACAUUGUUGUGACUAUCCAAGAUGGCAUCGGUCAGAUUAUUAGUAGCAAGGGUGGGCAAGUAUCUAGGUUGGUAUCAAAUUGAAGGACCUGAAUAUGAACAAAACCUUAAUGUCUAUGAGACUCAUGGUCAAUCUAAGUGGAGCUCGCAAAGUGUGUCAACAUUAUUUCUCUCUUAAUUGUUGUAUUUUAUAUUUAUUUUCUAUAAUUUUCUAAAUUGUAGUUCAUUUCAAUUUUAAACCCUAAACCCCAUACCUAGAAUCUGAAACCAUAAAAACUUCCAAAAAUAGCAAACAAACACCCCUUGACCCAUGAAACACCAUUGGAAACAUAAAAAACCAACAAAAUGAGAGGUAAAAAAAAAAGAAUUUGUUGUACUAGUAUCUGGAUGGCAUGAUCCACUGUACUAACCUGGUAUGGUGCCCAAUUCCAAUACAACAAUUGAUAUAAUAAAGCAGUACCCAAAUUGCUUUUCAAAACCCAUGGUCAAUUAUGGUCUUAACUGAUACUGAAUUAGCAUGAUAUGUGGCACAUCAUGAUAAGAUAUGCUAUUUGAUUAAUCAACCAGUGUAUGGAAGUCUGGACUCAACGAGACAAUGGCUUGUUUCUAGUUUCAAAAAUACAUUUUUUUAUUGCAAUGUUAAGUCAGAUGCUUUGCUCAUAUCCAUUUACAAAAGCGCCAAGUCAUAUCUCAUCAAGAUGACAUUGCCUGUGGAGUAUAGAAAAGCAAGGUUUGUCAAAGUAUAGUGUUAAACAAAUCCUUAAACCAUGCUCAAGCUCCCAUUCUUAUUCCUAGCUUAUUAGAUGGAGCACGAUAGUGUGAGUUGGCACAUUUCAAUGAUUGGUUUUCAAUACAGAUUCAAAACUUCUAUUGGUUAUCUAGUAUUCUACCAUGGUCGGCAGAAGCAUCCUGAACUGAGCAGUUCGGAGUAUACUGAGGCAUACCGGCGGCGGACCGGGACGGUUUCAGCGGUGGAUUGGGGCGGUUUUGGCGACUGAAACAAAAUAAAAGUCAACAGAGGGGGAGAAGGAGAAGGAAAGGGAGGAAAAGAGAGAGCGAGUGGAGAAAGAAGGGAGAGCCGAUGGAGGCCGGCGAGCCGCGCGUAGCUGUGCGAAGGAGGGGCUCCGCUUCGGUUCCCCUGUUUCGUUCGAAACAUGCUCCUUUUUAAUUUGGCGAUUUUUAAGUGAAGUCAGCACUUGUUGACUUCACUUAAAAGUUGCCGAAUUAAAAACGGGCCCUCUCCGAGACCUCUGUUUCGAAAGACAUAGGAGAAUAGGAGUGGAGCCCCUCCUCCACAUAGCUCCGCACUGCUCGUCGGCCCUCCUCUCUCCCUCCCUCUCUCCCCACUCUCUCUCUUUUCCUCUCUCCUAUUCUCCCUCUCCCCCACCUCCUUUACUGUAUCGGUACGGGCCCGGCACGGAACAGUAUGGGGGCAUACCGACCCGUGCCGCCGGACAACCGGUCCGGGCUCUGGUUCCGGCAUAGCAAACAUUAUUCCUACAUUCAACAAGUUGGUUUGGUAGAUAUAAAAUAGAAACAAUGUGUUUGGAAAGACAAAAACUAAAUGAAAUUAUCUAUAACAAUCAUCACCAUAAUCAAUCGAAACAAACUCGGACGUCCAACAAAAUAUUUAAGUAAUUUAUCCUGUUACCUUUAUUUACUAAUAAAAUAAAAAUAUUAAGAUCACCUCCCACCACUAGCGCUCAACUUCUUAGGUCACCUUUUGCCCAUGGUAUGAAAUAUCGAGGCUUGGGGGCACACAAUCGAGGAAGGGUAUUGUAUAUGACAUAUCAAGGAUCAUGCCAACCAAGUGUAAUGAUGGAUCAUGCCAACCAAGUGUAAUGAUGGUUAGGCAUUGAUUUUUGAUCCCGGAUAUACUCUGAUGCAUGAAUCUUAUAUCAAACAAUAUUUAGUCAUCAUUUGACAAAAUCUACCAUGGUUUUUAAUUAAACAAAAUAUUCCACUUGGAUAUUCGAAGCAAUAUGGUAAAAAAGGGAGGAAGAAAAAGAUUUGCCUAGCUAGAAUGAUUUUCUAGCCUUAAAAAUUAAAAAAAAACAAGUUUCAAUCUUGCAAGCUUGUUGCCCUAGACAGUCUUCCCUUCUCCCUCUCUUUUUACCUUCAAAUGGUGGAGAAUAAUUACCAAAGAGGCUGUUUUGGUUACUCAAGUGGCACCAAGUGGUUCCCCUCCAUCUAAGGCCACAUCAAGCUCUUUUUGGGGUGAACCAACAUUAAUCUGCCCUAAACCACAUGAUCCCGGGUUGAUUAGACUGAUUUGAGUGCAAUGCAAAAGGGGUUUGCCUAAGCCAAUGCCACCAUGUAUCCCAAGAGGUUUGCAAGGCAAUGUCAAUGGGUUUGAACAAUAGUGAUAUUUCAAAAACUUGCUUCCACCUAAAGGCUCCAUCACCAUUUUACCACCUCCGCAUCAUACAUUAUCACCAUCUCUAUGUUUCUCAUCCCUCUAUUUUUUUUCUCAUGUGGACUUGUUUGAUAUCUUGAUUAGCACCCAAUCCAUACCCAAACCAUAAAUCCUACAAGUCUUACAAUUUAAUACCUACCAAUACCUCAACCCAGUUGAUGGAUAGUAUGUUUGGUCAAAUUUAGACCCUCACAAGUUCAAGUUCAGGAUGGUGGUGCUUGGAUUGAAAUCGACCAAAUAACAACAUAUAAAAGAUCAUCUGGAACUUUAUGCAUUAAUAGUCGAAACAAAAAAUCAAAUCUACUAGUUCCUAGUUAAAGUUUUUGACUUGACGAAAGAUCUCAACUUCCCAAAAAAGAAGCAAGACUUGAGUUGCCACAAAAAUCUAGCAACUUCUUUAUAGACAAAGUCAUAGAACUGCAAUGAUAAUCCUACGGUUUUAUACGACAAGACAUUAUCUUUGACAUCAUAAUGAUCCAAUCAAUUGGCAAUUUUUAUCUAGUAAUGUCCAGAGUUUCCCCAUAACACCUCUAAAGUUUAGAAUGUUCCCUAGUGAACCUUCGUAAAAAAUUGGGAGCAAGUUUUGGAGCACAAGCUAGGUCACAUAAGAACAUGAAACAUUUAUAUUUAUUAUAAGACACCAAAUAGGCAUGUCUUGUCCCUUUGGGAGCACAUGUAUGAAACUACAUGCAUAUAUCAAUAAGGAGAUGCAUCAAAGUGGAAAAACAAAAGCAUUGAUGGAACACGUGCAUGCAAUUAUACUAUAUCUUGCCAUGAAGAUCUCAACUAUAUCAAAUCAUGAAAAGAAACUGUGUUAGAAAAUACCUCAAAUUCUAGUGGAGCGCCGCCCUUCAAAAUCACUUCAUGUGUAGGUAGUGGGAAUGGUGGUAGUUUCUACAAGACAAAAAGGAAUAUUUAACUACAGAAUAUAAGUGUCGUAAUGUCGUGGAUUAUGAAAGCAUCAAUAACCUAUAAACUUGCCUCACAAGGAUGACAUCCCCAUAAGAAAGCUCGCAAUCGAAAUUGUGGAAGGCCAUAACAACCGGCAGCCAUGAUUCCUAGUCUUGCUUGGUAGUUCAUACAAACUAAGCGGCUAAAAGCAUAUCGGGCAAGUGUAGCUUUGGCAAAUUUUAAUAUAUCAACAACAUUUUCCAUUAGGACAUAUUUAGGCUUUAAAUAUUGUACAAUGUCCAUGAAGACAACUAUUUGUCGAUUCCUCUCAUCAUUUAACGGUGCAUCGAAGUUUCUAAACCGAUUAUAGCCACUAAUACCUUGACAUGGAGGGCCACCACAUACAACAUCUACAUCGCCCUGGAAUAAUUAAUUGAUAAGAGAUAAUAAAAGCAAAAUGAAGUAAUAGCUUAUUGAGAGAGUUUCUAAAAACACUUACAGGAAGUGGCAAUAUCUUUGACUUGAACCCUUCUAUUACAAAAUCCCGUAUUCUCUCUUCACAAUUGCUGAGAAAUGGUCAAAGGAUAGAGAUUGGUCAAGCCUUUAGAUAUGACACCAUAUUACCUAUGAAGUGGCAUACCUUAAUCCUUCAAUUGGCUCCCAAGUAUCAUGACUAGGGCUAUAACCCUUCCAGCGAACCUAGACAUAUCAAAUAAUAAAUUUCAUGAAAUAAAAAAGUGUAAUUAUGUAAAUUAUGUGAUCAACCUUUUUGAUUUAUAUAUGCUUUUCUUGUGACCCAAAAUUCAUGUAUGAGAUGUGGUGUUCUCUACCUAACAUUGCCUCGAGUAAAUCAUAUCUAGUGAAGCUUAGCAUGUACAAUAAAAUCUACUAUAUUUGUCCAUGAGUAGAGAAAAGAUCUUGAACCAAAAAAAACCAUGAGACUCAGAUGCCAUUUAGGAGCCUCUAAACUUAAAAUAAGAUCCAAAAUAAAUGCAAGAUUCUAAAUAUAUUGAAUGAAUAUAUGUUAAGGCAAAAAUUCUUGCAAUCAACUAAUAGUAUGGUAGAUAGGCGAGUGCAUGGCAAGACAUACUAACAGAUACUUAACAAGUUCUCAAAAAUGAUGAAUUGCACAAAGAUGUUAAAUGGAUAGAGGUAUAAUUGGCUGAAUGAGUGGGUGCCUAUUAGGUGGUAAAAUUUUUCGAUGAGUAUUUAUGGAGUUCUGUUACUUUACUAUUUCAAAAUGAUAUAAAGAAAACCUAGUGGAAAAUAUGGGGACAUGUCAUAGACAUGCCUUAGUUAAUGUCUUUUAAGAGCUUGAGGUCAUACCUAUACCUGCACUAAACCCAAGAUAGCCUACCCACUUAUUUCCCAUUAGUGUUUUAUGUUUGGGUCCUUGCACCAACACCUAAGACUGCUAUAAGAAAACAGAAAAUAUGCUUGCUUAACUAAUUCAGAAAAAACCUGCCACCAGAAGUGUAAACCUGCUAUUGCUAAUUCUUAUGUCGAGUGUAGUUUUUUAUAUACCAACUUUGUAAUACUUCGAGGUUCCUUAAUAUACCCAUUUCUUGCUAUUCUUCCUAAAUUUACCACAUAUCCAUCUUAAUAUUCUUAUUUUUGUUAAACUUAACUUGCUCUCCAAGACCAUCUUUAUUGUCAAACAUACUAUGCCAUCCUUGUAAACUUUAUUAUAGCUCUAUAAAGAUUUUCUUUUGAGUUGCCAAGGUAUGCAUUAUCAUAUAAUACCUUGAAAGCAUCUUGCACUUAGUCAAACAAGUUUUAAAUCUAUUAGCUCUUCAUUAUUUUGUAUAAUAGAUUUUAAAAAGAACAACUAAUCACUUUGUGGUAGCUUUAGUCCAUCGCUCUUAAUUGGGGCCACAUUUUCUUUUUUAUUUUCAACAAAAUUACAUUUCAUAUACUUUGUCUUUAUUCUGUUAGUGUUCUUGAAGGCAUUAUCAUUUAAAGUAUUCAUCCCAAAAUCCCAUUUAGAAUAAUCUAGCUCUAUUCUCAUCAAUCAACACAAGGCUUGAAGUACUAUGCUAUAGGUGCAUAUUGGUCAUGUACCACCAUGGUAUGUAACACAGUAUGCCCAUGUGUGUACUCAUGGUUUGCCAAUACAAGGUGGUAUUGCACAUAGUACAUAUUGGUAUGCAAUGUAGUACAGGAUGGCUUGUAUUGUAGUAUGAUUGGUUUUUCAAACCUUUCCAACACUAUAUCAUCUGCAAAUAUCGUAAUCUUUCUAAAUUUUAAAGCAAAUUAAUAAGUAUGAUUGGUUUUCAAAUACACCAUGGCACAACUUUCUAAAUAUUAAAGUAAAUUAACUAGUUCAAACAGAUACGGGUUUAAUGUUGAUUCUUGGUGUGAGCCUAAUAAUAUAUUUUUGGCUCAUUUCCUAUCAACUUCAGCAUUAUGAGUCUAAUGGUUAGAUAACAUGAUAUCAAGGUUUUAUAGAUUCUACAAACUGAGAAUCUAACAUGUAGAUUCUCUUUCUCUCUCUUCUUUUUCCUCUAAACAAGGGGCAUAUUUAUGAAAUAUACUCUGAACCNNNNNNNNNNNNNNNNNNNNNNNNNNNNNNNNNNNNNNNNNNNNNNNNNNNNNNNNNNNNNNNNNNNNNNNNNNNNNNNNNNNNNNNNNNNNNNNNNNNNNNNNNNNNNNNNNNNNNNNNNNNNNNNNNNNNNNNNNNNNNNNNNNNNNNNNNNNNNNNNNNNNNNNNNNNNNNNNNNNNNNNNNNNNNNNNNNNNNNNNNNNNNNNNNNNNNNNNNNNNNNNNNNNNNNNNNNNNNNNNNNNNNNNNNNNNNNNNNNNNNNNNNNNNNNNNNNNNNNNNNNNNNNNNNNNNNNNNNNNNNNNNNNNNNNNNNNNNNNNNNNNNNNNNNNNNNNNNNNNNNNNNNNNNNNNNNNNNNNNNNNNNNNNNNNNNNNNNNNNNNNNNNNNNNNNNNNNNNNNNNNNNNNNNNNNNNNNNNNNNNNNNNNNNNNNNNNNNNNNNNNNNNNNNNNNNNNNNNNNNNNNNNNNNNNNNNNNNNNNNNNNNNNNNNNNNNNNNNNNNNNNNNNNNNNNNNNNNNNNNNNNNNNNNNNNNNNNNNNNNNNNNNNNNNNNNNNNNNNNNNNNNNNNNNNNNNNNNNNNNNNNNNNNNNNNNNNNNNNNNNNNNNNNNNNNNNNNNNNNNNNNNNNNNNNNNNNNNNNNNNNNNNNNNNNNNNNNNNNNNNNNNNNNNNNNNNNNNNNNNNNNNNNNNNNNNNNNNNNNNNNNNNNNNNNNNNNNNNNNNNNNNNNNNNNNNNNNNNNNNNNNNNNNNNNNNNNNNNNNNNNNNNNNNNNNNNNNNNNNNNNNNNNNNNNNNNNNNNNNNNNNNNNNNNNNNNNNNNNNNNNNNNNNNNNNNNNNNNNNNNNNNNNNNNNNNNNNNNNNNNNNNNNNNNNNNNNNNNNNNNNNNNNNNNNNNNNNNNNNNNNNNNNNNNNNNNNNNNNNNNNNNNNNNNNNNNNNNNNNNNNNNNNNNNNNNNNNNNNNNNNNNNNNNNNNNNNNNNNNNNNNNNNNNNNNNNNNNNNNNNNNNNNNNNNNNNNNNNNNNNNNNNNNNNNNNNNNNNNNNNNNNNNNNNNNNNNNNNNNNNNNNNNNNNNNNNNNNNNNNNNNNNNNNNNNNNNNNNNNNNNNNNNNNNNNNNNNNNNNNNNNNNNNNNNNNNNNNNNNNNNNNNNNNNNNNNNNNNNNNNNNNNNNNNNNNNNNNNNNNNNNNNNNNNNNNNNNNNNNNNNNNNNNNNNNNNNNNNNNNNNNNNNNNNNNNNNNNNNNNNNNNNNNNNNNNNNNNNNNNNNNNNNNNNNNNNNNNNNNNNNNNNNNNNNNNNNNNNNNNNNNNNNNNNNNNNNNNNNNNNNNNNNNNNNNNNNNNNNNNNNNNNNNNNNNNNNNNNNNNNNNNNNNNNNNNNNNNNNNNNNNNNNNNNNNNNNNNNNNNNNNNNNNNNNNNNNNNNNNNNNNNNNNNNNNNNNNNNNNNNNNNNNNNNNNNNNNNNNNNNNNNNNNNNNNNNNNNNNNNNNNNNNNNNNNNNNNNNNNNNNNNNNNNNNNNNNNNNNNNNNNNNNNNNNNNNNNNNNNNNNNNNNNNNNNNNNNNNNNNNNNNNNNNNNNNNNNNNNNNNNNNNNNNNNNNNNNNNNNNNNNNNNNNNNNNNNNNNNNNNNNNNNNNNNNNNNNNNNNNNNNNNNNNNNNNNNNNNNNNNNNNNNNNNNNNNNNNNNNNNNNNNNNNNNNNNNNNNNNNNNNNNNNNNNNNNNNNNNNNNNNNNNNNNNNNNNNNNNNNNNNNNNNNNNNNNNNNNNNNNNNNNNNNNNNNNNNNNNNNNNNNNNNNNNNNNNNNNNNNNNNNNNNNNNNNNNNNNNNNNNNNNNNNNNNNNNNNNNNNNNNNNNNNNNNNNNNNNNNNNNNNNNNNNNNNNNNNNNNNNNNNNNNNNNNNNNNNNNNNNNNNNNNNNNNNNNNNNNNNNNNNNNNNNNNNNNNNNNNNNNNNNNNNNNNNNNNNNNNNNNNNNNNNNNNNNNNNNNNNNNNNNNNNNNNNNNNNNNNNNNNNNNNNNNNNNNNNNNNNNNNNNNNNNNNNNNNNNNNNNNNNNNNNNNNNNNNNNNNNNNNNNNNNNNNNNNNNNNNNNNNNNNNNNNNNNNNNNNNNNNNNNNNNNNNNNNNNNNNNNNNNNNNNNNNNNNNNNNNNNNNNNNNNNNNNNNNNNNNNNNNNNNNNNNNNNNNNNNNNNNNNNNNNNNNNNNNNNNNNNNNNNNNNNNNNNNNNNNNNNNNNNNNNNNNNNNNNNNNNNNNNNNNNNNNNNNNNNNNNNNNNNNNNNNNNNNNNNNNNNNNNNNNNNNNNNNNNNNNNNNNNNNNNNNNNNNNNNNNNNNNNNNNNNNNNNNNNNNNNNNNNNNNNNNNNNNNNNNNNNNNNNNNNNNNNNNNNNNNNNNNNNNNNNNNNNNNNNNNNNNNNNNNNNNNNNNNNNNNNNNNNNNNNNNNNNNNNNNNNNNNNNNNNNNNNNNNNNNNNNNNNNNNNNNNNNNNNNNNNNNNNNNNNNNNNNNNNNNNNNNNNNNNNNNNNNNNNNNNNNNNNNNNNNNNNNNNNNNNNNNNNNNNNNNNNNNNNNNNNNNNNNNAAUGUAAUUAUUUUCAAUAUUUUUGCAGCUGAAUGGUGGAUUCAUUUUGGCGGAUCCGCAAAAAAUCUUAAGCGGAUAGCUAUCCGGAUUCUCUCCCAAACGGUCUCCUCGACUGGCUGUGAGCGCAACUGGUCCACCUUCGGCCUCAUCCACAGCAAACAAAGGAAACGUUUGACACAAAAGCGCCUCAACGACUUAGUUUAUGUGCACUACAAUCUACGGUUGAGGCUAAAAUGCAUUCAAGAAGAAGUGGAGCUCAAGUAUGCAGAUCCCAUCUAUAGAACUUUUACAGAUGAUGAUGAUAAUCCUAUGCUCGACUGGCUUGCGGCCCAGCAGCAGGAGCCCGAGCUUGAUGAGCCGGGAUCGCCUCGACGACCAGCCAGUAUCAUAGCCACCAAGGCUAUGGUCGAUCCACAGCAAUGGGCUGAGCGCAACAUUCCACGCACUCCUACAGCUGAUAUGACGUGGUUAGAGGGGAGCCAGUCACCGCAUGACUGGUCCGAUGCUCCCGUUAUGAUCCUCUCAUGCGAGGACGAGGACGAGGACGCUCUACUACCCAGUCGACUCGAUCAGGAGGGCGUCAAUCCCAACAAACAAGAAAAGGAAAGGAAAGGGCCCCAAUGGAGAGUGUCGAGGAGGAGACUUGGACCAGCAGCGAUGAAGAUUCUGGUGGUGAUGGAUCUACUAGCCAUGGAGGAAGUGGAGGACAGUAUGGUACUAGUUAUGAGACACAGCCGGAGGGAGAUUUUCGAUAAACCGGUGAGUCUCAGUUUACACAUGCUACAUAAGAUACGGACCACGGUAGGCCGUCUGAUAUAGGCCGGUCAGAUACCAUUGCAUAUCGAAGAAGAGCUCCUCGAGGUCGUUCAAGACGCCAGGAUGCAGCUGCAGAUGACCUUCCAUAUGGAGUCGAAUCCAUUGAUGUAUCAAGUUUCGAGUCUUCCUAUUAUCCGCGGCCUCAACCAGCCUAUGGAUAUGGUGCAUCAGAGUCAUCUUCCGGUAGCUACUAUCCUGUGCAACCCGGAGGAUCUUACGGAUCGGAUUUUAGUGCCGGCAUAUUCGGAUGGGCCCCUUAUCAAGACACCUCUCAGAGCCAGAGCUUCAGCGAGAGAUCCGAGAGUUCUUAUGAUCCAACGCGCAUUCCUCGAGGAUUGAGCAUACAAGACUACAAUGCCGCUUGGUUAGAGGGAUGGGUUGAUCUGCCUCCAUAUUAUGCUGAUGAUCCAGAUAUUGACGAGAAGCAUCGCCAUUCGACCCGAUUUUAGAUAUUCGAGAGUGAUUUAAACGUAUGUAAUUGAUUGUAUCUUAAUUUGAAAAUUUUUUAUGUUCUUCAUGUCAUUAUUUGAAUUAUUUGGAAGUAAUAAGUUGCAUCAUCUAGUUUUAACCUUAAACCUAAACAUAAAAACAUCCAAAAAACUCAAAAAAAAAAACGACGAUGGGGUCGCUGAAUGUACCCUAUCGGUACGGUAUCGGUUCGGCUCGGUUCGGCAACGGUACCGUACCGAUACCGGAGCCGACCAGUACGUCGGUACGAUCGGUA